UCUCACCGAACUGAUCGUCCCUAAAGCAAGUGAUAAAAAGCUUGAUGAUUGGUAUCUAAGACCCAAGUUCGAAUCCUAAUUGAUUCACAUUUCCAGCUAAGUUUAUUUCUAAAUGAAAUAAACGAAGCGGAUAGUAUGCUACUUAUCUUUCACAAAAAAAAAAAAAAAAAAAAAAAAAAAACACUUCCUGCCGAAGCAGUUUGGUGUGUUCAUUGGGAGGUUAACUUGGAGGUCGGAAGUUUACGUUAGGCCUACUGGCCAAGUCUCGGGAAAAAAAGAAAAAAAAAGAUAGUGGAUAUGCAUAUAUUCUUCUGUAUUACUGAAUUAAAUGAACAUUCAAUAAAAAUGAUAUAUUCAUGUUGAAAGCUAUUUAUAUCUGUUUCAAUAAGACUAUUGAGAGAAACAAAAUAUAAAUAUCUUAAUUGCCAAUUAGGACAUAAUAAUGAUAUAAGAAUACAAUACAUUUGUACUCAUUUCACAACUUAACAAUACAGGUUAUCAUUUAUCAAAGCACAAAUGGCUCUGUAAAUGUUACAACAUUUUAAGAAAUCAGAGAAAAUUUGUUUGCACAAGACAAUUUAUAGGUGUAAUAAAUAAUUUCCUUUUGUUAAUCACCAUUUGUAGUUGGCGGUAAAUGAUGUACGACCAGUAGCUUGCCGCUUCUAAUCAAUUGUAUGGUGUGAUAGAAAGGAAUUCAGGUUACUAACAGGGAGCGGUUUUGAUUGUGGGAUCAUCACCUCCUCAGAAGCUUCAAGACGUCGCCCACGAGAUGCAAGGAUCCCGUCACCAGAACCUGCAUUUGAUGCAGAACUUUCAAUAGGUACAUUUUUGUAUUAGAAAAAGUUUGAAAAGAGAAGUAUGUUGAUAGGUCAAAGGGCAUAUACACAAUUCAAGGGCAUUGGAAAUUCAAUAUCUCCUUCGGGUGCGUACAAGUAAAUCUCUUCUUCGUUACCAUGUGCAGAAUAAACAAUAUUCUGUUUUAAGAUUACCUGAAAUCGAAUAGAAGGGUUUUCUCUUGCACACUCUCUCAACCAAUUUAUUGCCAUCGGAAGCGACGGGAUAACAGCACUGCAGAUAUAGUGAUUACCGGCAAGGUCACACUUGUCUAAGGGAUCUACUUCGAUAAAACCAUUUGAAGAUGAAUUGUGUGUAUUAUGGAGCUUCAGGCCAUUGACAGUAGUUACAUCUAAUAGCACAUAGAAAAGAGUGCAAAUGAUCAUAUAACUUAACACAUUCUCUAUGGAAACCAAAUAAGCCCAAUUUUGAACUAUUCAAACCAAUGUUAGAUUUCACCUUUUCGAUGGAUUAACUUCUCCCAAGUUCUUUGGAGAGUUGAUUGCCAUGAUACUUCCCCUGAAGGAUUUGAUGGAACUGGUGAUGUAGCAGAAUCCACCCUAUGAUAUGUAGAGAUGCUAGGGACAAAAAGAGCUUUUGAGAACUGGACACCUGAGUCACAGAAUAGCAAUAGUCAAUUCAGAAAUGUCUUAAACUACAAAUACUUAUCAAAUUACCAAAAGAAAAGGCAAACCAUAGAUUGAAACAAACAUGAUUGAACAUUGCACUGUUGGCUAUUAAUUGAAAGACAGAUACACACAGAUUACUGCUAUGAUUCAGUCACAUAGAUAGGUUGUUUUUCUAUGAAGCAUAGAUGGUAUUUUUUUAAUAUGUCGCUGAAUAGAGGUCAAUUUUCUGCUGCCGUUAUUUACAAACGAAAUUAGGCUGUACUAAAAUGUUUAGAACAUCAGAUCAGAUACAGCUAACAUGUAUUUGUCCAUAAAUAUCUGUGCUACGUAAGCAUUACAUCAAUAAUGCUAAAGGAGAAAAUUUGCGACAGGAUAUUCUAGAAGUCAUACUAGCCAUGCUAAAUUUUCACUAGCAAUGAUUCAAAUCUAAUCAUCAGCAAAAAGGACUAGAAUAUUUGCAGAUAAUUGAACGGGAUGAACAUACUAUGUAUAUUUGAAGGUGAUCAAUGCUUAAUAUUAGAUAAUGGAAACAGUAGUAAAAAUAGUCAGCUGAUCAAAAGAAGUUUCAAAUAGACAAAUAUCAGAAAGUAGAUCAUAGUAUAUCUUAAAUUAAUUAGUUUAUGAAACUAUGAAAUAAUGCAAUUGGUAGGACUUGAUUGUUGAGAGAGUAGAUACCGCUUGAGGUACAAGUUUUCAUAAGCUGAGGAAGCAGAAGCUGAGGAUCUCUCUUCUCCAUGCAAUUAAACAAAAGGAUCUACAAAAAGAGAAUAUUUGAACUAUUAGAAAGAGUUACUUUUCACCCCUUCAAUUUGAAAAGUUUUAAAGAUGUAAGAAAUGCACAAGACAGUAGGAACAGCGUAAUACAAACAGAAGGACAAUUUAGUCACACCGAUAAGUUAUGCAAGAGAACUGUAUAACUUCAAACUAUAUUUACCUUCUUUGAUAUUCUUUCAGGCUGAUUACAGUGCUUCAUGGAGCACUGAGAAUCAGAGUUCCCAUGAGGUUCGUUGAUGAAAUCGUUCUUUGUAGGGUGUUGGUUGUCCCACAAAGCAUUGGAAAACCACUUAGCACAAGCUUCGAGACUCUCUGGAGUAUGAGCACUAUCUAAGUAAAAGAUCAAAUUACCACAGUAACCAUUUAGCUCCGAAUUCUCGUCAAAUUUUUCUGGCUUGUCAUUAACAAUUUGAGCACGUCCAAAAAGAUUAGCGGUGGAAAGGCCUCUAAGAAAUUCUUCUGGUAAGCUUCCUUCUAAGUCAUCCUAAUAGAACUUCAUCAUAUAACAAAUUAGACAUAAUUAUUGUUCAAAGUUAAAUAAGAGAAGUCCUAAAACAUCAACAAAGUAUUUGUACGUACUACGUAUACACAUGUAGACACUUGCAAAAAAAUAGCAGACAAAGAUAAAGCAAAUGGUUUAAUCAACAUUAUGAGUAACCUAACCUUCAAAAGAACUUUAGUAUACCCAGUUCUCUGAAGCCAACAUUUGCAAAGAGCAACAGCAAGGCCUGCAUUGAUGUAUUGGUGUUCUCCAGCUAAUCCAAGCUUUAAUCCCUUCAAUUUUUCUGAAUCUAGAGGUGGUGCAACUUCCAGUGGAAUCUGCAUUUGGAAACAGCAGGCAAAUCAUCACAACCAUAAGUUUACCAAAAGAGGGAAAAAAAACAACCCAAUUACUAGGCACUAACUGAAGUACAAAGGCAUAAAAAUGACAAAUUACCGACAAUUUGGAUGACUCUUCAGUAAGAACAGACAUGGCUUGCUCAAGUUGGGGCACUGUGAAUGCAGGGACAGAAUGCUUCAUGUUCAGGGAAGACAUCAACGGUUUUGUUAAACUCUUGAAAACAAAACUGCAGUGUUGUAUAAUCAAAACAGAAAUAUUGGAAUAAACAUUCCAUGGUUAAAUACUAGCUUUCUCUCUGUGCCAGCCAGUAUUCUGACAAAUACCUUACCUUAAAAAUCCCAGCCUUUUCUGCUGCAAUCUUUUCAAUGGUGUCUCCUGCAUGUAAAUUAACUCUUCAGUCAUCGAUGCACAGGAAAUUAUCUAGAGUAGCAUACAAAACCACUUGCUCAAAAUAGAGGAAUAAAAAAAGACACUAUAAAACCGACCGUCCCUAGCGCAAACGGCAAAGGACUUGGUGGUUGGUACCCGAGUUCGAAUCCUAGUUGAUUCAUAUUUCCAGUUAAGUUUAUUUCUAAAUGAAAUAGACGAAGCAAGUAGCAUGCUACCUAUCUCUCUAAAAAAAAAAAAGACACUAUAAAUAAGAGAGAUUGAACAUUAAGGGAAUAACGUGUAGCUCUUUUAUUGAUUAGCAUAGGUUGCUAUAGGCCUGAGUUAGCCAGUAGCACACAGGAUCUGAAGUUCGGAACUACUUUGAUUUUGUUUCCUAUACUAGCAUCAGAGCAAGAAACAAAAACAUAAGAAACAGAUAAGGACCAACAAGGACAUCCAUGUAAGUGAAGCAGGAGAAAAGAAAGUACCUAAUAUCUCCAUAUGAUCCAUCCCAAGUGAAGUUAUGCCACAUACAACAGGCUGCUUAAUCUAAAAAAGUUCACCAAAGUGUAUCAGUUAACAAGCUGAAUUGUAAACAAUCAGUAGAAAUCAACUAACAAAUAUAUGGAGAGUUUAGAUACAUUUCUUAACCAUAUUGGUAUUCAGUUAUAAGAGAAUUGUACAAGAGAUAGAAAUUAAACUAAUCAACAUAAAAAACUUAUCAACAGAAAAAACCAAAAAAAACAAAAAGAGCACCUAUUCUAUUUCUUGCUUAACUGGUCCAAACUACAGUUAUUGAAAUAUAGCAUCUCUACUUAUUAGGAAUAUAAAUGAAAAGGAUUUGUUAAGAAAAGUGACUAUACAGCUACAAAUAGGGGAAAAAAGGAAGUAAAUAUGUACCACAUUUGUCGAGUCCCAUCUACCGCCAAUACCAACUUCAACAAUGGCAACAUCAACCUAGAUACAACAACUUUUCACAUUCAUGACUAGAUAUACGUGAUAAACACAUCAAAUCGGAUUGUUAUAUCUGCAAAUGUUACUUUUGAUGUUUACAAUUUACAUCUUCAAGCAUGAUUCUGGAACAUUGGGCAACUAUUAGCAAAAAACUGAUAAUCAUAUAAGAACAAGAAAAGCCAUGAAAAGGGUACACAGAGCAUGACAGAGAGAUUAAUAUAUGCUAUUAUUUUCACACCGAAGAACAGGAAAAGCACAUUUUGAGAUGAUAUUUGGUUACAAAAGGAAGUGAAUUGUUUUCAGAAUACAAAAAAAUAUAUAUGGAUCAUUAAGAAAGGGGGUCAUAGAUAUAAAUUGCUAAAAAUGUGCAACAGCCAUCUGUUUUUUUUCCUUCUCUCAUCAAACAGAAUUUCUAUUAAGAUUUCUACUCAGAAGCAUUAAAUAGCUAAAUAUAUCAUCAUGGUAAUGAUAGGGAGUCCCAGAAGUCUUCACAAGGAAGUUAAAGCAACAAGCAUUCAAUCUUUUUUGGAAAUAAAGAAACUCAUCUAUGAAAUUAUAGAAGAUUCAGCAUAACUAUCGUAAAGAUCGCUUUAUGCCGAAAGAACACUACAUCAAUAGUCACUAUAUAAAACUUCUGCGACAGAGCGUAGAUGUGAUUCUACUAGAUGCCACUUUUGAUGCAUAGUAAAGCCACAGAAUUAUGGUUAAAACCUUUUCGCACAAGAAUAUCUUAAAUGCCAACAGUGUGAGGAAUUGAAAAAGAGGAGGCAUUAGCAAACCAUCUACAUUUUUCUCCUGCAAAAGAAAAAAAAAAAUAUUAGUGUACAUGCGUUUUUAACUGAAUGUACUUCAAAGUUGCAACUUGCAAGGUCUUAAAGAGUCAAACUAAGGAGAGUUAGUUCUCCAGAUCUAGCAGACAGAAUUUUCUUAGCAAAUCAGCACAGUGGUUAUAGAAAGAGAAGUGACACCUUCAAUUGGUGCCAAAGGCCCCAGAAAUAAUAUAAAAAUUUCUCUCUGGAUAUAUCUGACCUGCACAAAUAAUGCUGGAUGAGAUAGAUACAAUUCCAUAUUUCAGUUGCUAAAAAAAAAGUGUGCAUGGAUUAGCCAAGUGUGAAGUGAAGCUUUAAUUAGAGCUAAGAGAACAACUAUGUGCGAUCUAAAGCUUGGACAUCAAAAUAUGUAGACUAGAUGGUCAUAAGAUCUGAAUUAGCAGCACGACCAUUUCUAUACUAAAUGUAAGUUACAGGUCUCAAUAGGGACAUAGCUAUGUAUUGAUAUCUUGUAAUAACUUACCCAUUAAUGCGAAAUCUUUCUGUAAUGUCAAUCAAGUGAGGAGAUGUGAAUAAUCCAGUUUGCAAACCACAUUCCCUUAAAAUGGCUUCUGAAAAUGUACAAGUUGAACCCUGAAAUACAACUAGAUUAGCUGGAUAUAAGCAUUGAAAUUCCUAUCACAUCAAAAAUAUCUUAUACCAAGUUCUGUAUUUCAAAAGUAGCUUUUCUGGGAGACAAAUAAUUUAUAUUAUUUAGAACUAUAAUACUUUUUUCAAAAGAGUGGCAGAGACCCACAUAUGUGUCUGCACAUGAAAAUGCAGUUGUUUCAUCCACUUGUAUAGACCAAAUAUGUGUUUGUUUGGGAAGCACGUAAUGAGCACAUGAGCAAGCCACAAACAUCAUGCAUUCAAAAUUUCAACUAUAUAUAAGUACAUGUAGCAUGAAAUGACUGUAUGAACUAGUCAUACACUUAGAUCUACUUUUUUCGUUUUUUGACUGUAGAACACAGGAUGAUUCCCUGUGCUGUAGAACACAGGGUGAUCUAAUAAAUUUGAUAUAUAAAUUUUCAAGUUGAUGGAUUAGAUGCAAACAAAAGAAAGAAUGUAAAUAUGUUGAUUCUCUAAGAAAUAGAGUUGUCACCUUUCCUUUAGUUCCGGCAACAUGCAUAAUCUUAAGUUCAGAAAUGGAUUUAUCCAAACCAGCUACCUGCAUAUAUGAAAGAAUUAAGAGGGUCAGCAAAAAAGAAAGAAAAGCAAAACUUAGAAAUAAAAAUUAGUCCAUGAAGUUUGACCAGGUUCUAAUUUUGUUGUCAGAAUUCAUAUUGUAAUAGUUUAGUUCCUGCAGUUUGACCUUGAAUGAUUUUCAUCCUUUUAAGUGUCAAUUCAAUACAAGAAAAUUAACCAUGUUAUUGAUAGAAGUUCAUAAGAAGUAUCAGUGUCCACAAAACCAUCUAUGUUACUGAAACUCCACUAACCUUUAAGCAUCACGUAACAAUUACUGCUGACAUAAGCAAAAGAGGGCAACAGGUUCGUAAUUGUCAGACUAAAUCUAACAGAUGCAUAUUUUCGAUAUGGGUAUUACAGAUACAAAAUAUGAUACAUUCUCAUGAAAAAUUGCAUAUCAGACCUUAAUAAAACAGACGUGCUUUAAUUGCAUUCAGUGAAUGUUCACAUUCUAUGCAAGGAUAACUUAGAGACUACAAGAAAAUAUGUAGAUAGAAUAGCAAGCGAGAACAUGAACUUGAUCAAUUCAUGAAAUUUUAGUUUAUACAAGUUUGGGCUAUCAUCACCUGCAGAUAUUUAAACAUUAAACCAAACUUGCCAGCUUUCUUUGGUUCGGUUCCACGCUUCUGACGACUAAUAAGAGAAGAAAGGGCUUCCAUUGCAGCUUCAUAUGAAGAAGAAAGAUCCACUUCUUGUAGACGUCCUUUGUCCUCCAUUUCUAGAAGCAAAUCAUCCACAAUGACAUUCCAAUGAGUGCCAUAUUGGACAUAAACAUGAUACAAUGACAUAAGCAAGAAGUUGAGAAGAACAUUGAGCAGCGAUAAGACAAUUAUUAUUCAUGUAGACAUCUAGCUAAAGCAAUGUUGAAUAUAUAAAUAUUAGAAAAACUAUUCUCUAGCGGCCGAAGCUUUUGGCAUCUUAAAAAUUUCCUCCUAUUUAAUUAUCCCCAUCUUGGGCCUAUAAAAAUAUCUAGAGACGUUGGAUAAUUAAAUGGGCUGAAAUAAUUGUUUCUCUCCAGAAGCUUAAGCUGUCAAAAAUGGUAUUUUUAGUAUUUAUAUAUUCAACAAGCAUACAAAACCACAAAACAAAUAAAAAUCAGUAUUCAUAAAGUUCUCGUAAUAUAAUCUACCUAUUGUUUGCGGUUUAAGCUUACGCAUACGAGAAGAAAUGCUCCAAAACUUCAUGCAAACAAUGAACUUUUGUAGAUGAAGAAGAAAAGAAAACUUUGGUCAAAAGGCUUGUCUUCAUCUUUGAGGCGCAAAUAAGAAUAUGAACUUAAAAAUUUUGUUGAGUAAGAAAAUGAAAAACAGAGAAUAAUAUAAGCCACGUGAUAGACAACGCAAAAGAGGGUUUUGUGUGUGUGUGUUCCCGUGAUACUUAACAUUUUACCAUGGCAGCAUCCAUAUCUAAUGUUAAAUUUAUGAAAAUACUGAUUCACUCACUCAAUCAAGCAAACAUCUCUUUCUACGACAAGAAAAAGAGAAUGAUUAUAACAACAAUAUUCCUUGGCAAGGUAAUAUGAACCAAUCCACUGUAGACUUAAAUAUCAUCCAUUUAGCAGUAAAAUACAAAGAUACUCGUAUACUCUUCUGUGGAACUCGACGACAUUUAAACACAAAUUAAUCAUCUAAAGAGUAUUUCCAUAGAAACAGAGAUUAAGCCACUAUUCUUCCUAAUAUUUAAAUUUUUUUGGCUAAAAAUCAUAUUGCAUUCCGCUUUUAAAUGCGACCUGCUUAUUUUUCAAUCAAAAGCUACAAAAAAAUUUCUUUCGAUCCAACCCCAACCAGUAAAGAAAAGAUGAAUCCUGAUCUAAUAAUUCCUUCAUUGCUCGCAUUCACACCUCCUGCAAAUCUAAUCGCAACCAACGCCACAACAUAAAUUCUGAAGUCAACUAAAUCGAAUCAAACAAGAGCAAAUUCAACAAAUUAGAACACUAAAUAAAUGAGACUAACCGUGGAAAACGAAUCGAGAGAACUGAUUACGCGAUCGGAUUCGCCGAUUCCUACAGUUUCCCGAAAUAAAGGGGAAAAAUAAUGGGUGUAAUCUUUGAAAAGGGGUUAAAAAAGGAGUUUUUUUUUCCCCUUUUUAGGGGAUUUUUUAGGUGGGGCGGCGUUUUAAAAAAGGAGGGAGAUAUGUCGCCGCACACACUACUAAGCUUCUGAUUGCUUGGGCCAAAAAUUACUUAAACAAUAUUUUUUAUAUAUUUAUUCAGCACUAAAAUAAUUUGAGAAAAAUAGAAUGAUUUUAAUUUUUGGUCCUUUUCGGUAGAGGACGAAAAAAUCUCAAGCGAAUUAAAUUUUUUUUAUUCAUUUUUUUACUGUCGAAUUAAAUAAAUGUGAAUUUUUUUCAACUAAUUGAUGAAAAUAUUAUUUUUUUACAAAUCAAAUACUAUAAAACAUAUAUAUUAAAAAAUAUAUAUAUAAAUUAUUUUUUACCGUUUUACGUACAACGAGACACGCUCUAGAUAUAAUUCAUUUCCUUUGGAUUUUUAGCUGAUAACUAAUUUUUAUGUAAAAAUUUAAAAAUAGUUUUUAGUUGAACUAAAAUUUAUUAUUAUUUGUUUGAGAAAAAAUUAAGAAUUUUGGAACUGAAGUUGUUCACUUUCUAUUUUUAUUUUAGUAGAAAAUUUUAUCCUAGCAAGUAGCAAAUAAGAGAUAAAAAAAAUUACAGCAUUUAAUUUUUUAAUUAUUUUAUGGUGAUUGAUUUCGCGGCUGGUCAUAACGGAAUUAAUUAUGGCAUUACGAAAACAAUAUUAUGCAUGCAAAUUGGAGAAUAAAAAUAAAUUUUUAUGAUCGAAAAUUACAUCACUUUUUUAUAUUUCUUGUGAGACAAACAAGUUAAAACCGAACCGCACCAACCUAACCUAUUCAUUUUGGUUGUGUUUAAAUCAAAUUUGGGUAUCUAAAAUUGGAAAAAACUGGUAUUUUUUUACAAAAAAUUACAAUAGUAAAUCAACUUUAGUAAAUUUAAUUACAUAAUACAUUACUUAAUUUAUAUUUGUAUUUCAAAAAAAGAAACUGAUAUGAUAAACUGGUCUACCAAAUCAUGAUAAACUAAAAUAAAAUUGUACAAAAAAUUAUAUAUUGAUAUAAUAACCACAGUUAAAUUUUUAAUCCUUGUCAAUUUGGGAUUAAUAUUUAUUUUUUGCUAAACAGGUUCAGUCGAUUCAGUAUAGUUUUACUAACAUAUCAUAAGACUUCAAUAUUUUCAUAUUUUGGUUCGUCGUUCGAGGGAUCAACCAAAUCAACCAACUGCACUAAAUAAUGGUGGUCUCUGCCGAUUUUAUACUGCAGUAACAAAAGGAGUGACUUUUGUUUUGUUGGAAAAUAACUAUUUUAAUUGGUGGUGGGAGUAAUAAUAAUUUUAAUUGGUCGGAGAACGGCACCCAGGGAGGAAUAUUCGGAGGAUAUUAGAUUCGAUGGCGACGAAUCACGUUGAGGUCUUCGGUAGUUACGUCAAUAUAUUUUUAAUAUCAUUACCAGUACACUUUAAAAUAAAAUAUAUAUCUUAUACUUAUUUUAUUCAAAAAAUUAUUAAUUUUUAAUUUGUCAUAUUAAUUUUUUAAAAUUUUUAUUAAAAAUCACUAGGAAUGAGAGGAUUACAAUUUUUUUUUAAAAUUCUCCACUUACCACAUCAUACUGUUCAAAUCAUUGUAUUAAAGAAUGAUUUUGAGUCGUGGCUUUAUGGAUGGUGCUUUUAUAAAAAUCUUAGCAAAAUUAUGAACGUUCAUAAAUUAUCUAAAAGUAUGAAUUUUCAUAUAUGCGCCGCCCUAGCUAGAGAGUGGAGUUUCUACAAAAGUACCUUCAUUACAAGUUGUUAGUUUGAAUUUUAUUAUGUGCAUUGAUUUAGACUUUUAUUUGAAAUAUCAAAUAAAUAUGGUACAUGCUAUGAGAAAGUGCAAAAGAAUAUUAUUAAAAUUUCUUUAUUAUGCAUGUAGGCCAAAAAAUCUAGUCAAAGAGUUUUCCUGGUUUGAACGGCUGAGUGUCGAUAAGUUGUAGUGACUUUGAUUGACAAAAAAUAAAAUUAAAAAUCAAAAUUAAAAAAAGCUCUAAAAGUAGACAAAUUGGUAAUUCACACAAAGGAAUGAGAAACUAAAUAUUAAACACUUUGCUACGUCAUUAACACAACAUGCACAUGCCUUUUUUAUCAUUUUUUGUUUGUUCAUUUAUGUCAUGUUGGUGGAACCAUCUGGUGUUACAUCUGUAGUUAAAAAUGUGACAAGAAAGCGAGUUCAAGCAACAAGAAGCUGUAAAUACUUGAGAGUAGGUUCUCACUGCAAGAAAUGAUAUUAACAACUCCAUUUAUCCUUGUAUCACAUUUGGUAAUAACAUUCAAGAGUAUCUGGAUAUUCUUUUGUUAUUUUUUAUUCCAUUUCAAGAACCUUACAGCAGGAUUUAUUCUAUCUACAAGAUGAUUUAUCAUACUCCCCUUCAACCAAUUAACACAAGCUGUUGAGUAGAAAAACAGAUGUUGCAUGAGAUAUUCAGUCUUUCUUAGGGUCUGCCAGUAAGUUCAAUAACUUGUUUAAAAUACAAGUAAUUGAUAACUUUAUUAAGCAAUAAGUAAGAUAAAUAACAUCCAACAAAAAAGAACAAGAAGGGGGAAAAAUCAGUAAUGCAGCUAAAAGCCUUUAUCAGGAAAGCAACUGCUCUACCCCAUCAUCUAUCUUACCUGCCUGAAGCUAAUAUGACUGCUAAUAAAAGCAUCAAUAUUACCAUCUAAAACUGAAUUUAAAUCUAGCAAUUGGAUUCCCGUCUUGAGAUCACGAACUGACUUCUGCGGACGAAACAUGUAUUCCCGCGUUUCGUGGUCCCACUCGCUCGCCACAGCACCCCUUUUGAUUCUCCUUACAUCCGAUACGCCGUGUUCGGAUGCUACAACAAGGAGUUUCGCUUUCAAUCGGUUCAUAGCCUUGAUCUUAUUAGCAAAAUGACUUCUUUCACCUGCACCCAAUAAUAAAAAAAGGUUUAAUUAUUAAGGCAGACUGCAGUAGGUCAUCUCACAAAGUGUGCUAUUUCAUUGAGGGGUGCUCUUUUUUGGGUAGGUAAGCUGGAAAUGUUUGUGCACGCUAGCUAAUAUUUUUAAGAAAUUAAAGCAUAACAGAAAUAUUGUCAAGUAAUUUCACAUAGAAAAUAUGGUUCUGGGACUUUGAACCACUAUAGGUCAUGCACAUAGUAUUUGAAUAAGAUAAUGUAUAAGAUGUUUGCCACAUAUAGUUGUUACCUGAACUUUGAACAGUUAUGCUACUUGGGAUAUGACAAACAGUAACCGCAGGUUUACUACUGCAACCGGGCUGCUUAUCUUCACAACUCCAGGAAGAGAUUUCUAUAUCAUUCUCAUCUAUAUGCAGAUCAACAGGUCCAUCAAGGAAGAGAGGGAUCACAUCAACUCGGGCUGAGCAUGCCUGCAAACCUCGGUCUUAUCAACUCUCUGCUGCAACUCAGAAAAGAAAUAUUCUAAUACUAGUUUAUGAAUCAUCUAAUAUCAUGAGGUUCGGGUAGCGUUACCAAAAGGAAGUGGAUGCAGAAUUUGGUACUCAAUAAACAAGAUGUAUGAUAACAUUCAAUGAAAACGAAAGCAGAAAAAAGUCAGAAAACACACUAGGUGUCUUGAACCCUAUAGAAAGCCUCUUUAAGCUAAUAAGGUAACUGAGUGUCUAAGGGGUUGUGCUGUAGAAGAACUUUAGAGUUUAGAUUUUAGAGUUUAGAAGCUCUGGUCAUUCUUGCAUAUUUUCACACUAGUACUCACCAAAUAAGUUUCUUAACUGCACCCUUUAAGGUUUGAAGUGCAAGUCAUUUAUGUACUACCACUACCAUAUAUGAUGUUGAUAACAUCAAGAAUAAAAUGGUUUGAAAGUGAGUUCUCGCUAAAACUCCUGUUGUGAAUUAAGAAUAGGUAGGCUGGUUUUUCACAACUUGCAAGAGAAACUGCUCAUGAUCCACAAUGUAAGAAAGCAAUUAAGCAAAGCAUAAAAUUUGCAAGAAAGAUCGAAGAUAAUCACCUCAUCCACUCCAGAACCAUCGAGAGAAUUGCAGACCAUUCGAUGUGUACCCCUCUCUCCGAGAAGGUAGCCAUACAUAUAUUCUGAUUCAAACUCUAUUGUUGCCAACCUGACACCACCACCUUUAAAUGGAUACUUCUCAACAACCCUUCCCAUGAAACCAUGCUUUUCAGCCCAUCUUGCAUACAUGCACAAGAUCUUCUCUGCCCAUACCUAUAAUCAAAUGAUGGCUCAAAUAUAGACACUGAAAGAAACUUAUUAUAUCUACAGCAUAGAAAGCAAACAUAAUUCAAGUAGGAAGUAUGAUCCACAUACCUCAGAAGCAAUGGCUUCUGAACCAGCUUGGAUGGUUACACAGGCUCCUUCCUUGUCAUAUGGACCAUUCAAAAGCUUGGACAUCUCAUAACGAUCAAGGAAUUUGCUAACAUCUAAAGAGGCUUUGUAGGCCUGCUUAAAAAGCUGAUGAUUUAUGAUAUCCAUGUCCGCUAGCUGCGUGAUCAAUUUUGCUUCUUCAGCCUGCACAUGUGACAUUUAGUUGACUACAGAUGAUAAUAAUAACCUUUAGCAAGAAAAAUAAAGAAAUAAGCAAAUCUCUAGGAAUAUAACAUUCUGGCAUAAAGAGACAGACACAUUUAAGCAAAAGACUCUGAGUGAGCUGAACUACCUACAAAAUUUUAAGCAUUUUUUUCUUUUUUUUUUUCAUCGUAAAGCCUUUGAUUGCCCAGAUUACUUGUAACGCAUAAGAUUAUAAAGUUCAAAAGCAUCAAAAGAUUAAUCCUUUGGUAAAUCAAAAUUAUCAAUAAAAAUUAUGUGUAGGUAUUGCCAUGAGAAGUGCUUUGAGUUAUUCGCAUUCUUUUGAGGGUUACAAAAAGAAAAUCAUUCACGGAACUCACAUUAUGUUUGUCAAGCACAGCACCUUAUAUCUUAGGUCCUUGAGAUCAUCAACCACCUUGAUAGCAUCAGCUAAAGCAGCAAGAGAUUCAUUAGAUCUUGUUAGAUCAUCCCACAAAUUAUACUCAUGAAGCACUUCUUCUUGUCUGAUUCUCCUCGCUUCUUCCAACUCCAAUGCAGUUGGUGCGAUCAUCUCGGCGCGACUAACAGCAUCUUCAAUUUUCUUUUUCAAGGAGUACAAACCUAGUGAAUUUCGAAGCAGGAUAAUGCCAUCAAUAACCAGGACAAAAUAUCAAUAAAUAAUCAUGCAAAUAUCUACUACCAAUGUGAUAUGAGUUAAAACAGCGAAUCAGUAACCAGUUCUCAAAUUUGAGACACAAACUUAAACUGAUGUGAUUAGCCCUGAUUGUCAAACAAGACGCGACCUGAGAGCCCGAAUUGCCACCACCCCUUCCCCUCUUCUCACCUUUUUCUAUCAACCACUCAACCACUCUAUUGUACCUCAAUAAAUUCCAUAACAAGACUCUUCACCACCCACUAUUCAAGCCUAAUUCAUAAAUAUGUUAACUAGAACAGCUUAACUAAGGCUAUUUUUCGUUUAUACUAAUAUGCUAUCUACCAACCUCUAAUCAUCACACCAUGAUUGUACAUAAUCUGCAAUUUCCAAAUUGAUGAAUAUAAACACAUUAAUUGUCUAAACAACACACAAAAAAAAGGGGGAAAGAAAUAAUUUGUGGUACGGAACAAAGCCAACACUGCAGAGAUAGAUUCUACGUCAAAAUAGAAAGGAAAAAAAAAAAAAAAAAAAAAAAAAAAAAAAAAAAAAAAAAAAAAGCUCGUAAAUCCGAUCAUGAACACAUAUUCUCCUAAUCUAUAUAUCAUGCUCAUCACACCAGGUUGGUACAUCGAAACCCUAAAUUAGCGAAGCAUAGAAGAAACAAGGUAAGAUACGAACCCAGCUCCUUAAACACACGAUCGUUUCGGCUCUCCAUGGAUUGGGAAGCGCGGAUAAGGGUAAAGGAGGGACGAGGGGUUCUCCUUGGAAAUGCCCGGCUCGGCGCUAGGGGAGCGGCUUUGGUGGGCGUCGGCGAGCUCACGGGUCUCGUCGCCAUUAGAGAGGAGAUAGAGAUAGAGAGAGAGGUGUGGGAGGUAGCGGCGCUUCAGGAAAAGCGACGCUUUUUAGCGAUGGGGAUUGAGCUCUCGAGGGUUUUGUAUUUUUUGUGAGAGGGUUCUGCUGCUGCUGCUGCUGCUGCUGCUUCUUCUUCUUCUUCUUCUUCUUCUCUGUUUGGGAGAUUGAGGCACAUCCACGAAUGACUGGUGAGGAGUACUUGCGGAGGGAAAUUAUUUCGUGGAUUUGGACUACCGUGGCAUUCGUGGACCGGACCAGUUACAACGCAGCGUAUUAUAUCCACAUGAUAUUUUAGUUAGUUAUUUAUUUAUAUUUUUUAUUUUUUUCAGAAUAUUAGUAGACCACCGAAGACCACCAAGAUAAAUUUUUUUUGUGAAUGUUGAGCUGCAUGUGUAAAUCAAACAAAAAUUUUCAAAUUAUAUACAUCAACACAUUAACAACUUUAUCAGUACACUAUUUCACGUGCUUAAAAUUUUGUUAAUAACAAACUAGAACCCCUUCAAUAGUUUUCUCUGUAACAAAAGUGAAAAUUCGUAAAGGAGCUUCUAAUUUUUCAACUAAAAUUAAGUGCUGAAAGAUAAAAGCAAAAAUAGAGCCAAAUAUGUAGAUUGUAUUAGCAAAUAUAUCAUUAUAUUGUCAUGCAAAGCCAUCAUCCUCGAAUUGUUAACACCAGCAGAAUUAACAUCACCUAAUAACUAUCUAACAUAUGGCUAAUUUAUAAUUUGUACUAAAUUCCCAAAUAGAUAUAAUAUCCACAUCACAAAAUGAUCACAAAUGUGAAAAGCAGCUACUAUCUGUACCCUAGAGGGACUCGGCAAACUGAGGUGCUUCUAGAUCAAGCUCCUGCUUCAUGACACAGCUAAUUAGCCACUCGCUGUUGAAAAUCCAAGCACCGUUUCUGGCAGCGGCCAAAGCAUCUGCCAUAUCUUCCUCGCAUGCCACGAAGAUAGUCUUCCAUGGAUCCUGUGAGUCGGCUAGCCUACGAAUAACCUGCCGAUGUUCAUAAAUAUCGACUGAUGUUAGUUAUCAAGAACAGCUGUAGUUAACACAUCUGCAAGAUGUUGUGAUUCACAAUGAUGUUAAUUAAUCAUCUAAGUUAUGCAUGCAAAAUUUAGCACUCGAAAACUUUUCAAAGAGAAUAACGUACUGUAUCAAUACGUCGGGAUAUAACAUUUUAUGAUACUUACGUUGCCACCAGCAGACUUGAUAAUGAUUGAGAGGUCAUCAAAAGAGGGCUGGAUAUGCUUAGAAAGGCAGAUACUACAUCCCAUAAAUAGUGAACAGGGGUUUGCUUUAGCCCUAGCAACUGCAUCUCCCAGUUCACACUUGUACUUUGUCAGAUAUUCCUCAUCCUUCAAUAUGUAUUCUGAUUCCUCUGCAAGAAACGUUGAAGUACUGAAUUAACACAAUAAGGAUAUAAGCUAUUACUCUAGGAGCAAGAACCUUUCUUCCUAGCAAGCAGCGGGAAACUCAAAAACCAAAAUAAUUAGCAUGGUCUGAAUUGUAGGUACAGUGACUCACCUACAAACCUGCCUUCCUUAAAGCUUUCUUUCAGCCAAUUUGGAGAAACGAUCCAAGCUCUGCAGUUAAGCAGAUUCUUAUGAAAAUGACUAUAGUAAAAAAGAAAUGAACUAAAGUCACAAAGAGAAAUGGGAGGAGAUGAAGAUGUCUGAGGCAUUGCAAAAUGGGAGUACAGGUGUUUACAUAUAAGGUCACAAUAGGUUCAGCCUUAGCCUGUAACAACCAGCUGAGUUGCACUCAAGAGUGAUAAGACAAAUCCCACAUAUAAAGUAAUCUUUUUCUUUUUUUUUAAGGAAUACUAAUAGCGAGGAUUCAACCCAAGAACUCUCACAAGAAAGCAGGUGGUACCGACCAUUAGGUUAAGCUCUAAUUGAUGUGAAGUAACCUAGUAAUAUUGUAGAGUGCAUUUCUAAAUUCAGUGCAAUACUCGUUUCCUGGAUUCAUCAUAUAGAAUGAGGAACUACUUACCUGGGAGUUUACGGACAUUCAGAAUAUAAGUUCAGAUAUGAAAGGCAGGAUAAUACUUUUACACUAUUAAAGGAAAACAAGGAACACUAACCCAGAGCACAAAGCUACACAAAAAUUCAUUGUCCUCCUUGCUUUUCCUGUAAUAACAUGUGUGCUUGCACUUCCUUCAGAACUAACAGAGCCACCAAGUUUUUCAACUAUCUGCGAAAACAAUUGUCAAUGCAAUUAGAAAGGAAUUUUGAGCAGAUUACUUGUUACCAAUUUUGUAAAAGCAUAACUCCAACCAAAAUUUACACUUCACCUAUCAACUAUAUUGCAGAACUUAUGAGAUUAGACUAAAGUAUUACAUUUCUAGAGAGCCAAGCUUUGGAGUAGACAGCAUAUGUUACCUUUGUAAGGCUUGAUUUCUUGGCAUCAUCAGCAAUAUUCAUGAACAUGAUCUUGGGGCAACGUCCUUUUGAAAACAGGUGAUCAAUAAUGUUACCUGUUCUGUUUCCUUCAGCAUGAGCUCCCAAAUAAUCGGGAGUUGUGUGGACAGAAUGGGUGCCCUUAGCAUUUCUCCUUGAGAAACUGUCACAAACAAGAUCUGUGAUCGAAACCUGGCAACAAUCGAUAUUAUCAUGGCCACCUCUGACUCUUUUCGACUUCAGUGAAGAUGAAGAAGCUUCACAGAAAUGCCUUUUUAGGCGUUGUCUAGAUGAACACUUCCUACUGUUGGGAUCAUACCCGCUUUGUACCACCUCUAGUUCUUCUUUGCUUUCGCAGUAUUCAUUAUUCUGAAGAUCAGGAUGUGGAAAUGGAGAAGAACAAGGAGGAAUACCUAAGAAAAGGAGCAGAUCCUAAUUAAUUAGGAAAUAUUUAUUCUUCUGUAGAAUGUAAUUAUCCGUGAUAUGCAUACAUGCGAUGGAUCAUCAACAUAAAAUUUUCUGCGUGUCAAGCCUUCUAAGAUUUCUUGUUAGUUGACUUUCAGGGGAAAUAAAUAUGAUGUGGUUGAACUUAAUUUUCUGAUAUUAUUGCUAGAAAUCUCAGCAUCCAUAUAACAGCAAACUAAAGUAAUCUACUACUACUACAAAAAAAAGAGAAAUUAGAGAUUAGGAAAAUAAAGAUAAAAAAUUUUAUCAUUCAUAGGAAAUAAAAGUUAGAAAAAAAAAAGUUGCAUAUUACAAGAAUGAGCAAUAUAUCAUAAAUAGAGCAAAAUAUGGAAAUUAAGUUAUCACACUUCCUUUCUUUCUUGUUUUGUUGCUUGCUUCUCUAGCACAGUUUCUAAAACAUUUAGUAGAUAUAGUCAUUAGUUAUAUGCAGGGCCACUAAGAAAUAGAAAACAAUGGGUAGAAAUAGCAUGAUGAAAAAUUAGAUGACAACAGGCAAGCAGUUUCCUGUGUAUGCAGAGAAAACCCACUUCUCACCAAUGUAGAUUCUUUUCUCUAUAUAUGCUGAAUCUAGCAGAGACUAGUUUUAUGAUUUACAUUUUGAAGUAUCAUUAAUCAUAGGUUUCAAUUAUCCAGGAACUCUAGAAAGAUUACAACCUGAUGAAUUCGCGUGAGGCUUUGAACAAGGCAGCUGAACUGUUUGCGAGGGGUUGAGUGAAUUCAAGAGUUCCUUCUUAAGAUGAGCAACCAUUAGUGUGGAAUCACCAGGAAAGCAUAGUGCCCUUCUAAUUUCAGCUUUUAUGGGUAGCCUGCGAACUUUGCCCUUACUGUCCACCGCUCCAAUUGGUACAAAACCCUAAAUUUUAUCCAUGUUACAAAAAACAAAAUAACUUACACGAGCUUCUUUUUAUUUACAAGUAAAGUUUAAGAAAUCAAGCAUUUAAAAGAUGAUCUUAAUAGGUAAACAUUAAUAACUGACUAGAACUAUAGUUAAGAUUCAGCUUGAUUACUUGUUUAAGCCAAAAUCCUUCAGAAACCUUAUCUGCCCAGCAGAAUAUUGUUGAAACGCCCACACUUUGAAGUCUACCACUUAGUUCCUUGAACAAUAACUGACCAAUACCCUGAAAAGUAAAAGGCAAGCAACUUGGUCCAAUGUAUGCAAGGAUAGCAAAUAAACAAGCAGACCAGAUUCCUUUGCACGAUUAAUGAAAAUAAAAGCAGAUAUCCUCAUCCAAGUCAUGAUUAAUAUUAUCCUGAAUGGAGUUAUGAUAAAGUUUAAUAUUGUUUCAGUAUAUGUGCUUACUGCUAAGUAGAGGAGCGUAAUAGAGUGAUCAACAUCAAUAAUUGAUUACCUCAAAGGCAGUAGAAAUUGUAAAAGGAAGAAUAUUAAGCUGAGAGAGUACAAGUUGGUCUAAAAUCUAGAGAAGCAUGUCUUAUUCCAGGCAGAGCAUAUUAUAUAAUAGAGGACAAAGAGACAAAAUUGCACAUUAAAAAGUCAUCUUUGUUCGAUGGUAAUAGCUACCCUGACUAAUGGUGCAUACCUUCUUUUGGUACUUUGAACUGACAGCUGCAAGAGGUAUUUCAGCAUGCUGUGCAUCAGCAGGAAUUAUUUGAUAUGAUACAGCAGCUAUGACCUGUAAUGCACAAAAUAUAGUUUGAGCACUAAUUACACAUAAAUUGAUGAGACAGAUCAUCCAAAGUGAUUGAUUACAGGUAAACUUACCUCUCCAAAUCCUUUAGUGGAAUUAGAUCUCAAAAUCAAAGUCGUGUAUUUUCUGGGAAAAGAGAAUUUUGAGAUUUAGAAAGCUAGCACUUCCUAUAAUCUUAACAACUGCAACCAACUACUUAAAAUGGCAAAGCAUAGUUUUGGUCAAAUAAGAUUGUGAAAAGCUGUCCUGUAUCCGCUUUUACCCAUUUGUUAUGGAUCUUUCAAGAAAUCGUGAGUUUUUUCCGGUAUUCGCUGCAUAAUUCAUUGUAGGUAGUUCUUGCAUGUAGAGCUUCAAUACUUCCUGGAAACAUAAAAGUAGGGAGAAAGAGUGUCAAGCAACCUUCUCAAGCAUAGUUCAACAAUAGGUAAAGUGCACACAGGUGCGUGCACAUGCAUACGCAUGCGACGCACGCUAUGGUGAGUCAAUCAAUUGAGAAGUCAACACACAGGCAGCUAUAUAAACAUAAGGGCAAUCACCUGCAGAAGGGAUUUAAUUUGGUUAUCCACAUCUUUUGGAUUGAUGAUGAAGAACGAAUAGUUAACCAUUGCUGAACACUCUUCACCUUCAAUUAACAUAAUGCAACAAAUCAGAAGGGCAAAAAUUGAGUGCUAUAGAGAGAAAAAACAAGCAUUUUAGCACAAAAGCACCAGAUAAAGGACUAAGAGAGUAAACAAUACCUAGGGAUUUGAGAUUUCUUUUUGAAUUCCUUGUAUUGUACCUGCCAGAUUCCUCAACUAACCAAAGCAACAAACCAUGAACAACCACCACAAACUGAAAACAAGGUUAAAUCACAAAAUGGGAUCGAAGUUCACCUGAAACCCUAAUUUUUGCGUCAUUGGACACGGAAACGGUGAGACUUUUCUCAUUCGACUGACAGAUGACACAAUCUCCAAGGAUCUCGACCUUGCAAUUUCCUGCGAUAGGGAAUAGGGUUUCAUCCGAGAUCGAUAUCGCAAUCGCCAUGUUCGAAGAACAACUAGGGUUUUGCGAAGGGGCCUACCGAUGGAGACGGUGGAGUUGGGGGAGGCAUCGAUUUUCGCCAUGAGGACCCUCUUCGUGUUCUCGCUCUCGCCCUCUAAGCGAGGAAGUGGGAUUUAAAAAGGCUUCGAAAUGGAGCGUAAAAUUUUUGUAGGGCGGGAAAAAAGAAUUUGGGAUUUCGUGCAAAUCGGGAAGUACAAUAUUUGCACCUCAGUAGACCCAGGUUGGGCCAAAUAUGGGCCAAACCCCAACAUUUAUACUAAUAAUAAUUAUGAAAAACUUCGAAUUACCCCUCUUGUGGUUUUAUUUUUUUUCACUUUAGUACCAUACGGUUUAAAGUGUAUCAAGUUAGUACCCUGUGAUUUCGCACUUUCUCACUUUAAUACCAUGUGAUUUAAAUGUAUCAAGUUAGUACCUUGUUGUUUUGCACUUUCUCACUUUAGUAUCCUGUGGUUUAAUAUUUAAUUAAGAGAAAAAUAAAAUCACAAGAUACUAACUUGAUACAAAAAUAAAACCACAGAGUACUAACUUGAUACACUUUAAAUCACAGGGUACUAAAGUAAGAAAGUGCGAAACCACGGAGUACUAACUUGAUACACUUUAAACCACAGGGCACUAAAAUAAAAAAAUGUGAAACCACAAGGAAGGUUUUUGACGUUUUCCCUAAUAAAUUGAGUUGGAUCGGAUCGGAUCAGAUCGGAUCACCUAAUGUCCGACCCAAAAAACUUGUCGGGGCGAGCACGACCCGCAAAACAACCCGAUUCGAUCAUAUCAAAAUAAAUAAAACAAUAAUUAAGAUAUUUUAUUAAAAAUAUAAACAUGGAAGGUAGGGAUGCAAAUAAAUCCAAUUUGAUAGCGCUCUCACCCAAAUCCAUCCUAAAUAAAACAGUAAGCCAGGUCAACAACAAAAAAGCAAAAAAAAAAACUCGAAUUCAUCUGAAUUUGCUAAAAAAAAUAAAGUGAAAAGCUAGAAAUCUCUUCCUUUUUUUAAUCCGCUUCAAUCUAUUAAAAGUAUAUUAUUAUUUCAAUAUGUUCUAAAUGAAAAGUAAGUAAGAGUGAAAAAUAAAAUAAAAAUUAAUCGGCUACGAGUCACAAUCUGUGACAUGACCUCUGGAUUCAUCUAUAUUCAGAUAACUAUUUAAAAUAGUAUCUUCAUACAAUUUUACCUAAAAAAUACANCGUGUUCUCGCUCUCGCCCUCUAAGCGAGGAAGUGGGAUUUAAAAAGGCUUCGAAAUGGAGCGUAAAAUUUUUGUAGGGCGGGAAAAAAGAAUUUGGGAUUUCGUGCAAAUCGGGAAGUACAAUAUUUGCACCUCAGUAGACCCAGGUUGGGCCAAAUAUGGGCCAAACCCCAACAUUUAUACUAAUAAUAAUUAUGAAAAACUUCGAAUACCCCUCUUGUGGUUUUAUUUUUUUUCACUUUAGUACCAUACGGUUUAAAGUGUAUCAAGUUAGUACCCUGUGAUUUCGCAUUUUCUCACUUUAAUACCAUGUGAUUUAAAUGUAUCAAGUUAGUACAUUGUUGUUUUGCACUUUUUCACUUUAGUAUCCUGUGGUUUAAUAUUUAAUUAAGAGAAAAAUAAAAUCACAGGAUAUUAACUUGAUACAAAAAUAAAACUACAGAGUACUAACUUGAUACACUUUAAACCACAGGGUACUAAAGUGAGAAAGUACAAAACCACAGAGUACUAACUUGAUACACUUUAAACUACAGGGCAUUAAAAUAAAAAAAUGCGAAACCACAAAGAAGGUUUUUGACGUUUUUCCUAAUAAUUAUAAAUUGAGUUGGAUCGGAUCGGAUCGGAUCGGAUCACCUAAUGUCCGACCCAAAAAACUUGUCGGCACGAGCACGACCCGCAAAACAACCCGAUUCGAUCAUAUCAAAAUAAAUAAAGCAAUAAUUAAGAUAUUUUAUUAAAAAUAUAAACAUGGAAGGUGGGGAUGCAAAUAAAUCCAAUUUGAUAGCGCUCUCACCCAAAUCCAUCCUAAAUAAAACGGUAAGCCAGGUCAACAACAAAAAAGAAAAAAAGAAAACUCAAAUUCAUCUGAAUUUGCUAAAAAAAAAUAAAGUGAAAGGCUAGAAAUCUCUUCCUUUUUUUAAUCCGCUUCAAUCUAUUAAAAGUAUAUUAUUAUUUCAAUAUGUUCUGAAUGAAAAGUAAGUAAGAAGGAAAAAUAAAACAAAAAUUAAUGGGCUACGAAUCUGUGACAUGACCUCUGGAUUCAUCUCUAUUCAGAUAACUAUUUAAAAUAGUAUCUUCAUACAAUUUUACCUAAAAAAUACAAACUGAAGUUAAAAAAAAAAAAAGGUGAAUGUGUAGUGUAAUAGAAUCUUGAGUAAACUAGCCGUUGAACUCCGCCCCGGGCCCGGUCCCAACGGUCAAAAAAGAAGUUCGAAAAGAACUCAAAGCUUUGUGUGGAAACACUUUUAUAACACCCCCCCAAGCCUCUCAAAAUAACUCCUCUCUCUCUCUCUCUCUCUCUCUCUCUCUUCUUCAUCUUCUUCUUCGUCGUCGUCGUCGCCAGCAUCGCUCUCUGUCUCUCUUCCCCUUCUCUUUUCGUGCAUCAGAACAAUCUCAGCUCUGAAGAAACAGAGGAGGGAGAAAACGAAGAGAUCUCAGUAGAGAUGCCGCGAAUGGAGAACCAAGAAGUCCAAGAUUACGUCCCCAGCGCUCCCGCCGCUGCCGCCGCAACGCCACCGCCUUCGGGAGGUGCCACCGCCAAGCAGCCCCUCCCGGCGGCGAAGGGCUCCGACGGCAACUCCGUCUUAAAGAGGUCCUCUUCACCCUCCUCCCCUUGCUUCUUUGUGUGCUCCAUUACUCUCUCUCUCUCUCUCUCUCUCUCUCUCUCUCUCUCUCUCUCUCUCUCUCUCUCAAUUUGGUUCUCUUAUUUUAUUUUGUUUAUGUGGUUAUUUUUUGGAAGAGUAUGGUGAUCUUGAGGGGUUAAAUUAAUGUGUUGAGAAUUGGUUUUUUAUCCCUUCAUGCAUCUCUCCUUAAAGGGCUGUUUGGUUUGUUUGGUUCCUCGAAGAAGUAUGAGAAAAAAAAAUUCGAGAAAAAAGUUUUUUAUAAAAAACUCUGUUUUUAGUUUUCUCCCGCUUGGUUCUAAAAAACUAAUAUUUUUGAAACACUUUUUUUUUCACAUUUUAUUAAAAAAAAAUCAGUGUUUUUGAUAUCUAAAACUUAUGAAAUCUGAAAAAAAAAAAAAGAACUGUUUCAAAAUAAUUAAGUUUUCUUAGAACCAAACUACAAAAAAACUGAAUAAAAGAUUGUUUAUGAAUUAUUUUUUUNCAGCCCCUCCCGGCGGCGAAGGGCUCCGACGGCAACUCCGUCUUAAAGAGGUCCUCUUCACCCUCCUCCCCUUGCUUCUUUGUGUGCUCCAUUACUCUCUCCCUCUCUCUCUCUCAAUUUGGUUCUCUUAUUUUAUUUUGUUUAUGUGGUUAUUCUUUGGAAGAGUAUGGUGAUCUUGAGGGGUUAAAUUAAUGUGUUGAGAAUUGGUUUUUUAUCCCUUCGUGCAUCUCUCCUUAAAAGGGCUGUUUGGUUUGUUUGGUUCCUCGAAGAAGUAUAAGAAAAAAAUUUCGAGAAAAAAGUUUUUUUAUAAAAACUCUGUGUUUAGUUUUCUCCUGCUUGGUUCUAAAAAACUAAUAUUUUUGAAACACUUUUUUUUCACAUUUUAUUAAAAAAAAAAAGUGUUUUUGAUAUCUAAAACUUAUGAAAUCUGAAAAAAAAAGAACUGUUUCAAAAGAAUUAAGUUUUCUUAUAACCAAACUACAAAAAAAACUGAAUAAAAGAGUUUUUAGGAAUUUUUUUUUUUCCAUACUUAUCCAAGGAAACAAGCAGCCCCUUAUUUUCUUAGAAUGUGCAAUAAGUUACUCAUUUUGAGGGAUUCUAUCUUUAAAGGCAGAAGCUAAUUCUGUUUUUGUUUCUUUAAUUGAUCAUGGUUUUUUUCAUGCACUGACACCUUCUUAAUUAAUCCAUGCAAACAGGCUCCAAUCAGAACUAAUGGCACUAAUGGUAAGCAAAAAACAACAACAACAACAACAACAAUUCCAUAUUUUUCACAACUUAAUCCAUACUUGGUUUCUUUUUCUUUAUAUUUUUACUAGUCCUAGAUUAAAACUAACAACUUUGAUAACAAUGUUGUAAUCAGAUGUGUGGUGAUCCUGGGGUAUCAGCAUUUCCUGAGGGGGACAACAUAUUCAGCUGGAAGGGCACAAUAACUGGGAGCAAAGACACAGCUUAUGAGGGCAUGGUCUACAAGCUCUCCCUCUCUUUCCCUUCUGAUUACCCUUUUAAGCCUCCAAAAGUUAAGUUUGAGACCACAUGUUUCCACCCCAAUGUUGAUCUUUAUGGCAACAUUUGCUUGGACAUUCUCCAGGUACCCAAAUAGAUAAUUUCAAUUCACAAUUCACUUCAUGGCCUCUUUUCCUUUUCUAUUUGUUUUCCAUGGAUUCUUCUGCAUACAUGCCUCUGCAAAUAUGCCAAAUUGUGCGAAGUUUGUAUUUUCAUAAAAAAAAAAAAAAUUCUACUUUAUAUUGGUGUUUACGCAACUUCGCAUGUUUUUCAGAGGUACAUAUGCCAAAAAGAUAUAUUUUUUCUUUCUAACCAAAUUUUGAUUUUUUUGUCUUUGUUUUUUUGUGUGUGUUUCAGGAUAAAUGGUCAUCUGCAUAUGAUGUCAGAACCAUUCUUCUUUCAAUUCAGAGUCUUUUGGGAGGUACUACACUGAAAUUAUAUGAACUACAACUUUUUUGUUUUCCUUUCCUAUUUGUUUCUGUCACCUACAUGCUCUAAAUACUAUUCGCAAUUGAUAAUUUCAGAACCAAACAAUGAUUCUCCACUCAACACUCAAGCAGCAGCACUGUGGAUCAAUCAAGAAGGUGUGUAAAGUGUAACAUUAUUUAGUAAAAAUCCAAAAAAAAUGUUUCACAAUGAGAGAUUCUCUUACAUAAUUCACUGCUCUGAAUUUUGCAGAGUUUAGGAAGAUGGUGGAGAAGAUGUACAAACCAGCCUAGCUUUUCUUAUACAUUGGGCCCAGCAAAUGUGUACCAUCUCUCAUUGUCCACUAAGUGGGAGAAUUGAAAAUUUGAAAUUGUUCAUUCCUUCUUGUGCUUCUAUUGCUUUUCAUUUUCCAUGUGCAACUGAAACUAUUGUGUUUUCCUUUUAUCUCAGAGUUAGUAAUUUCAUUUCUUUAUCAAACUGGAAUUAUUGAUUGGUUUUAAGCAUUCUUUCUUUACUAGUGUGUGGACAAUGAAUCACAUAUUUGUACUGAGUUGGCUCAAUCAGUUUUUAAAAACUAAAAAACAAUUGUGCACAGUAUGUGUGUGGUAAUGUUAAGUUGUGAAAAGAUGUUACAUAUGAAAUUUUUUAAGUGAUUCAUACGUGUAACCUGAAAAAUAUGAAAAAUAUGAUCCAUAUCAAAUAAUUUCUAAGAUUCAACAAAUUUUUAAAAAUUUUUUUUUGUUUUUUUAAUAAAUGAUAAUACUAGUACAACAAACUUAGCUUUUGGAUAGCCAAAAUUAUAGAAUACAUUGUCCUUUUUCUAAUCGAGACUCAAAACUUGUAACUCUCCCACAUUCGCAUCCAAAUGCCUCAAACAGCCUUAAUAUUUUGACACGAAAAUAAGUUAUCCGUUGAUGAAUUACCCAAUAUAAGAAUAGCCAUAUUUUGUCUAUAACUUAAAAAAAUAAAAUAUAAUAUUUAAUUAAACUAUACCAAUCAAGAUGUUUAGUCGUACACUCCAAAUUUAUUUUUAGACUUUUAGUAUUGUAAAAAAUUCUUGAUAACAAAAAUGAAUUCACAUGAACCUUUGAGAAAUUAGAAUGAAAAGUUUUUAACUUAUAUCAUAAGUGAACAGACAAUAAUUAUUAAGAUAAAUUAAUUUGAUCGUCCCUAUUACAAGUCACAAAGGCUUCGUUUGGUUCGGGUAUAAGCAAGAACUAGUUAUACCGGGGAUAGGUACAAAUAUGAAUUUUCGUAGGAAUAAGAAUAUUUUUUUGUUUAGAUGAAAAUGUGAGUAUAAGCUGAAACUAAAAAAAUUAUGUUUGGAUGAAAAUAUGAGUAUAAGGUGGAAUAGUUGGUAGUUAUAAAUAAAAAAUAAUGAUAUUAUCCCUAUAAUUGAAUUUAAAUUUUUAAACUGAAAAUUUUAAAUUGAAAAUUUUAACUUUAAAUUAUAAAUUUUGAAAUUAGAUUUAAAAUUUUAAUUUUUAAAUUUUUAAUUUUAAAUAUCUAAUUUUAAAUUUAAGACCAAAUUUAAAUUUGAAAGAUAAAAAUAUCAAAUUUAAAAUUUGAAAACUAAAAAUAUCAUAUUUAAAAUUUAAAAUUAAAAUUUAAAAUUAAUAAAAAAAUUUAAAUUUAAAAUACCUCUCUCUCUCUCUCUACCCGGGGUGGAACACUGGCUUCCCACCUAAUACGGUACCACCUAUACCCGCUAAUAGGUGGUACCGGGUAUAGGGUGGGAAUAAGUGUUCCACCUACCAAAAAUUCUAUUUUAGAGCUUAAUAAUUGCUAACAUGAGUGACAAAGAAAUAAUAAUUGGUAUUUGAAGUUUUAAGUUCGAAACCUAAGUAUUACGUCUCUUACGGAUAAAUUUAUGUUUUUAAAAAUAAAUAUAAUAAAUUAUAUUGUACAGAUAGAAAAAUAAAAAUAAAAACAAAAAAACAUUUCCAAGGCUUGGAGGCCUCGCUAGGUUCGUAACUCAUUCCUCUCUCCCUCUCUCUCUCUCUCUAAAAGGCUUCUUUAAAAAUGGCAGUGGCGGCGGCGAGAUGGGCUCUCCUGAGGCGCCUGCGGGUGGCCGCCGGAGCUCCGGCGAUGCCGCCGUCGCCAUCGUCGCCGUCUCCCACCUCCUCCCUCGGUCGCUUCUUCUUCCUCGUCGGUCGCCGAGGGUUCUCGGAGGAGGUGAAGGGGUCGUUCCUCGACAAGGGUGAGGUCACCGAUCGCGUCAUCUCCGUCAUCAAGAACUUCCAAAAGGUCGACCCCUCCAAGGUAACACUGCCGACAACAAAAACCCUAAAAAAAUCUGCACCUACUAUUUAGGGUUUGUUUUCCGUGAUGUUAAUGUAAUCCGAUGUUUCAAUUGCCAUGGGGUCGUUUGAUCCGUUAAUGAUGUUGAUGCUUGAUGAGUAGCUUAUGCUGGAUAUUGUUUUUUUUUUAUUUUAAAGGGAGUUUGGUUUUGGGAUGUCGUUCCUAGUGCGGAUGAAUCUUAUUUGGUAGGAAUUAUGGGCUAUUAUUAUAGGAAUAAAUUGGGACACUUUAGGUGUAUAAAUAUGUAUGAUCGCCAAUUCAUUGUCAUCAAUAAUCAAUGUUGCAUUCAUCGUACAUAAUAUGUUUGGUUCUCCUUUGACCCAUCUAUAUGAAUCUAAGAUCGACCAGUGUUGCAGAAUGCAAGGUUAAGCUAGCUGGGUUCAUCAAUUGAUGUUUUAACUAGAAAAGAAUUUUCUAAUUAGGGUUUUUCUCUUCGCAUAGGAUUUUCUAGAUCUUUAUUAAGUGCUACACUUGCUAACUGUGCCCCUUCAUCCCUGUUCCAUCCUGAAAAUCCUGACUCACCUGUGCUCUCUCUUCUUCCUGAAAAUUUUCUUCGUGUGUUGUUUCGAACCUAUCUUAAUCUUGUUAGAAGACUUUAUUUCAUAGUUUUCACAUCUGCGGUCAUAUCUAAUCUGAGGACUUAAAUCUAUUCUCUCCUGUACUAUACUUGGAAACAGAUGGUAGAGAACAAUUUGUCUGUCGUAUCUACAUAAAGUCAAUCCUUCCAGAAUUUGCCAUUGCUAGUUGGUAUUUUGUCAAGAGAAUAAGGUUUGAAUUGAAAUGAAUAUGUAUGUAAUGUAGGUUUCUAAGUUGCAAUAGCUGAGCUGAGGAUAAGGGUAAAACUUUCCAUUGCAGAAGAAAAUGUGGUACAAGUGGAAGAGGAGUUCGUAGAGUUGUACAAUUGCUCAGAUGCUUCCUUUUUGGCUUUAAGCAGAUUCCAAUGGAAACCUAUGUUGCACAUAUACAUACACACAAACUCAGGAUCCAAGACACAACACUACUCAGACAUGCAACUUGACAACUCAAAAUAUUAGGGCAUACGGUCAAUGAGUAUACUAGUCUCUUUUUCUUUUCUUUUUUUUCACUUUCUUAUGUUAAUAUCACCUAGCCUUUAUUGCCGCCAUCAGUAAUGUAUAUGGUGGCAGUGGUUGGCUAUUAGGGGUAUGUUAACUGUUAAGGUUAAUGUUUAGAUUAAAGGUUAGAUGGGCAGAUUGAGAAGAAGAUUUAAAUAUUCAUAUCUAUAUUGAACAUCGUGUUCAGACUAGCAAAGUCCUUAAUGUUUUUGCUCUAGUGCGCAAGGAGCUUGCUUUCUCUUCUUACUCCUUGCUGCUAUCGUGCUACUCUUCAUAUCAUAUUGUUGCCUAUUGCUAUUUAGACUAAGUUGUUUCUUAUCCCGGUGGUAUUGAAGGUUAGGAAAUUAUUGUGAUUCCAACAACCAGGUUUUCUUUGUGUACUUCGAAGAGAACUUUAUUAAACAGUUGGGGCGGAAAAGUUGCACUUUUUGCUUGUUUUCAUCUGGUGAAUUCUACCAUCCUACACCUCAACAGCCGUCCCCUGUUUUCUGGGAUUUUGAUAAUGAUACUGAUGUGUAGGAUUAGGGGCUUUUAUUCAGGUGUGUUUUGAUUCCCUAUUUUGAUAAUUGUGUAGGAAUGCUUGUUUUUUUCAUGGUACUUUUUUUUACUAUUCAAAUUUCUUUUGAUAACUACACACACACACGCGCACACACACACACACACAUAUAUAUAUAUAUAUAUAUAGAGAGAGAGAGAGAGAGAGAGAGAGAGAGAGAGAGUUGAGCCCUGUGCUUUUAAAAGUAUAGGAGCUCAACGUGUUUGUGAUUUUUUAGCCAUCCGAUCACUUCAAAAUCCGUGCAGCAUUAGUAGAGGGAAUUAAUGGGAUACGUCGUUAAUAGUGCUGCACAGAUCUUAAGGUGAUCCGACGGCUAAAAAAUCUCAAGUACAAAUGCUCCUGUGCUUUUAAAAGCACAGGAGCUCAACUCUCUCUCUCUCUCUCUCUCUCUCUCUAUAUAUAUAUAUAUAUAUAUAUUUGCACUCUUGCUUAUCAGCUACACCUGCACAAAUUUUCUUGCUGCAUAUUGGUAGAUUCUAUCUAUAGCUGUGUUACACCAGUUCCUUCGCAGGUAUCUGCUUUAAUUACAUGCUUUUUAUCAUAAUAGCAUGUUUCCAUCAGUUAAUUUCAUAUAGGGAACUGCUUUGGUCGUUGCAUUAACGUAGUUUUCAUUUUCGUUGGAGCAUAUUCUUUGCUUUCCUGACAUCUUGCAUUCAUGUAGUUUUCUGCGUUAUCAUGGUUUUUACACCAGUAGACAUGGCUGGUCAAAUUCUGGAAAUGAGUGGCCUUUGUAUACAUUUAAAACCCUAAGUAGCGAGGGUGGCUUGUGUUGCAGGUGACACCAAAUGCUCAUUUCCAGAAGGACCUUGGCCUUGACAGCUUGGACACCGUAGAAAUUGUGAUGGCCUUUGAGGAAGAAUUCGGGUUUGAAAUCCCCGACAACGAGGCGGACAAGAUUGAUUCCAUCAAAGUUGCUGUCGACUUCGUCGCCUCGCAUCCCCAAGCAAAAUGAGGGAACGAUAAGGAUGUUGCAUCUGUUUUAGUUUUUCCUGCUAUUUAAAGAUCCUCUUCAAGGUGUUUAAUCCGAAACAUUCAGUUUGAGCUGAAAAAUUAAAUUCGGCGCAGAGUCUCGGACUCAUCCGGUAGAAGCUUUGUGCUUUUUGAAGCUAGAGAUGCUAUGGGCAUGAAAGUUUUUAUGAUCUUGUUAUUUGUCCAUUAAUUUGGGCACGUGAGUUCUUGUUGUUACUUAUCAUAACCGCCCAUUCCAUAGUUGAAGAAAAUGAUUCACCUGGUUGCCACUCUGUUUAGCGCCUUCACAAGCGGGCAAGAUAUAUAUGCUCACUAGAUAUCCGCUUACAAAGAGGAUCAUGCAAAUAUACACAUGUUGACUCGUAUAGAGUGCAUAUGAUGGUCGUAAUUUUUUUUUUUCUUUUUUUCUUUCUAAUGCCACCCUCUCUUUAACCAACUAAUGGUAAAAUUUUUGUUUAUAUAUGAAUUAUUGAUCGAAGUGAUCACGAGUAGUGAUGUACCUUACGCUAGUGAAAAGUGUAAUAUUGAUAUAAACCGGAGAUAUUUAAUUACCACACUCAGAACCAGUUGGAAAGUUUUAAAAGGAAAAAGAAAAAUCUGCGAAUGCAAAAACUACGCUACUCGACUUCGUGAUGAGGAUGAACGUCUCGUCCAAGUACUAACAUGAUACAAGAGGCUCAGCCAUAACCUACAAAUCCUGCAUUCUUCAUGAAUAUAGGAAAGCAGCAGAAAAUCUCAAAUCUCAAUAAACAGUAGGAAAAACAAAAUCUUCAAAACAAUCGUUGUUCCUAUAGCUCACAUUGGAUGCACUAUGAUCUUGACCCCUCUAUUUUUGUAAUCACUAGAGAAACCUUGAGCUGAAGGAUACUUCCAACUUCAGAUGCACAAUAGAAUGCAGAACAGGGCGAACUUAUGAUAGGGCAAAAGUAUAUUUGAGAAACCUAUAAAAAGUAAGGUGGGCAGUUGAAGAAUGCACAAAUGUAAGGUGGGGAGCUGAAAAAUAUAAUACUCAAAGCAGUGUUAGUACAUAAAUUCUAAUAUAACUAGAUAGGCCUGUUUCAGAUUCAUUCAUGUCUAAUUUUUGUCGGCUCUUACAACACUUACGGCAACAAACUUAAUCAGCAUUAAAUUGCAAAUAAGACUCAAAACCUGAACCAACUGUCCCUAACGUAAGUGACAAAAACCUUAAUAAUUGAUAUCUGAGAUCCUAAGCUUGAAGCCCAGUUGUUUUACAUUUCUAGGUAAAUUUAUUUUUAGAAAAAACAAAAAAAGGAGAACAAUGCUAAUAGCAUGCUACCAUUCUCUCAAAAAAAGAAGAAAAAAGAAAGACUCAGAAUUGAACUAAAAGAGAGCUUUGACAAAAAGCUCAAUAUAAUCCAGAAUAACGCACAGAGUCUAACACAACUUUUAUCAUUUGAGAUAGCAACCUGUCAAUGUAGAAAUAAAAAAACAAAACAAUAUAGAACUAUCUGGUAAACCAGUUUCUUUUCAAUGUUCUAUUAAUCGACAAAUAUGACCAAGUUGCAUUUGGAAAGUCAAUGUCACACCAUAAAAGUGGCAAUGUUUGGUAAUUACAACCCCGCAUAAAAGCCAAGCUCCAAAAAAAAGUAGUCAUUGACAGCAAAUACUAACCCAGCAAAUUAUCAUUCAUUAGUCAAAUGGUUAAAAAUAAAGAGUGUAAGAAGAUUUCUUCAUUGAAAGCAAAGAAAGUUAACAACACAAAAUAAUGCAAAAGCAAUAAUAGCUCCGACCUGUGAAUCAGUCUUGACUUUCUAUUUCCAUUUUUGCACUUGUUUUGCGCAACAAUUUAACAUGCGACACUUGGAAGUAUGAGAAUACUAUUUAAUGGUGGAACAUUGCAACUAUUUUGCUACCUUGUGGAAAGUGGUCCAUUAGUAAAGAUAUUAUAUGAUCAUACUGUGACACCCUAAUACCACAAAAGCAUCUCUCACCACAAAAAAAAAAAUUAGAAAAAUUAAAAAAAAUGCUAUAUUGAUUUAGAAGCAUCAUAAUAAUCUUCUUUAAUAGUUAAUAUUUCGAUAGCAUGAGAAGAAUGGCUGAAUGUACCAAUUGUUAUAUGAAAAUGGGAAAUAGGCAGCAUAUUUUCUAUUAAUUGGUAUCUAGGCUCAGUAACAACUUUUCAAGAGAAAGAUCUAUUGGUUUGACAAUUUAAACAGUGGAAUCCAUACUAGUCAUAUGAGUUCAGCAAAAUUUAACAUUUUUUUCCUUUUGUUUGCAUGCAUUUUCAUGGCUUGUUUUGCUGGAAGUGCUAAAAAUUAUACUGAAAAUUGUUCCAUCUGUAGAAAUUCCCCUUUGUAAACUAGUUUAGUAAUUAAUGAUUACGAAUAAGGAUUGGAUUGUCAUGUAAUCAAAUAAAUAUCCAGAUGAUGCUAACUAACAAAACAUAAUAACACAAUUGAACCUAAUUCUCGACAAUUAAAACCAAAUUGCUAAAUGAUGUUUACACCUCAACAGCUUUCUCUUAACCAUUGGGAUUAACUAAAAUUAGUUGAGACUUGCAAUGGCUAAUUUUUCAGAAAAAGUGAACCUUCAAUUUAGUUAGUAAACUAUCAAGCAAUUUCAUUUGGUAGAUAAAGCAAAUGAAAAGGCAUUGUUGAUCGGAAAUAUUUUCAGGAAAUGGUAGAAAGAGAAAACCAUCUGGUUCCAAGCGGCAAAGGAGAGUUUGAUUGCCGACAUGUCCAUAUACUGCCUGCUGAUAAGGAAAAAAAAAACAUGGAAAAUGAGAUAAAAAGUAAUUUGUAUCCAGAAAGACAUGAGAACAUACUUAAAAAUUAAUUAGACAAAAAAGAAUAUGAGAAAGAAUCAAUUAUAUAGUAAUAAUAACAGAAAAUACUACUAAUAUCCUGUUAUAUAAAACCUACUUCUCGAGCACUAGAAAGGAAAGCAAACAAAACUCUCAUAAAAACUACUACAGAAAGUCCUACUUUAUUGUUUCUUCCCACAAAGAUUGCAUCUGGAAAUACAAGCCUCCUCAAUUAUUGCUUGUUUUUCUCUCUCCUUGAUAAUUCUGAGGUUUUAAACAUGGCCCCACUCUUGCUUGAGUUUAACACUUGUAGAAGGGUAUUGGCACUCAGAGGAAUUAGUCCUAUAAUUUUUACCUCAAUAAAGAAAGAAUUAAUCAUGGCUUAAACAGCUUACAACCAGAUAUUGACUAGUGUGAGCACAUGUUACUUUCUUUCGCUAAAGCUGAAAUCAUAGCCAGUAUCUAAUAAACAAUGAUAAUCUCCGCAGCAAGUAACCAUUUAGCAUCAAUAAGUCAUACAUAUUCAAGAAGCAAUAAUCACUUUCCUCUGGAGAAAUGGAUCUGACAGAUAAAUAGUAGUACACAGACUCACCUAGGUCAGAAGAAAGUCUUCCUGAGUCAGCUAAAAGAUCUAAAUUAAUAGCAAAGGCGCCGGUAAAUGCUAAACCUCAUCAAAUACUGAAAUAGUGAAAGCCAGAGAAGCUGAUCGCAAUAAUGUGAAAGCAAGAAGAAUGAUGACCAAAUAGCGAUCCCUUUUGUCCAAUUUAUUGAAAGGGCCACAAAUUGCACAUCAAUGAAAAAUGAACCACUCAGGCAAAUAACCUUACUGACUGCCGCCGAGUAAAUCAUGCUUUGAUUCUUACUAACUCAUAAAUGAGAAAUACUUCUUCAGCAUGCAGAGAGGUUUGGGCCCACUUGGAAUUACCUUACCAACAAUUACAAUGAAAGUAUCACACGAAGUUGAACACAUCUCUUCUAUUUACAAUGUUAUAGAAUCAGAAUUCCCCACCUGUACCAUCAAUCCAUAAAGGAGCUCACAGGAUUGUCUGUGGGUGUGGCAGCUAAGUGACCAUGUGUACAAGCCAUAAGCACCUCUUCACCUACUUCAUUAGAGCUCCUGAUAGUAUUCGGUGAACUAACCACUAUUUGAGAAGCAUUCUCAUCUCCAGAAGAGAAGGUUUUCUCUUCAUCAUGCAUCAGUGUGGGCAUCAUAAUAGGCCCAUUUGUUAAUUCAACUGCAGUAGAUGAAGGCAAAAUUUCAACUGCAGUAGAUGUAAUACCAUCUUGUUUCCUCUCCUCAUAGCUGUUUUGAUCCUCAAAACAAACUGUACCUCCAACAGCAAGUUCUUGAUCUGACCGAGGGAUAGCAACCCCAGAAUAUGGACAAACGGGAACGCUUCUCUUUCGGCAUUUAUGACACGUAAACCCAAUUAGAUUGUUCAAAUUCUCAAGAGUAACACAGUAAGCAUCCGCGUGAAACCAAUCUACAAAGAAAAGAAAAGACGAAAGCUGAUUUAAGGAAACAGGUAAUAGAACAAGAUUCCAAUUGAAAAGAAAACAACGAUAUAUAGUAUAAUGCAAACUUGAAAGAAAGGUCAGAAUGCUUGAUGAUUAUAGAUUCUCAACAAGAAAAUGAUUUAAAAAUGCACUUCUUAUACAUAGCCUACAAUGGAGAAGCAAUACAAUGAACUUAAAAAGCUUGAUUACCUUCACAUUUUUCACAGGCAACAUAAAUUACUUCUGGACAAUAACCUUUCGAACAAAGGCAACAAACUGGUGCUAAAGAGGAGGAUUCCUCAAUAUGUUGGGAUGGCAAAAGAACUUUCCUUUUUCUAAAACAUUUUCCAUGUUCAUUGUCCACAUUGUGUGUCCAAUGAAGGCCAUUCAACCAGUAUGGGUAGUGCAUUACUGUUCUCUUUCUCUUCCGCCAGAGUAUUUCAUUCUCAGAUUGUUUUGAAGGGUCCGUUUUAGAACUAAUUUCAGAUCUUUUAGAUUGGCCUUUUCCAGAUUCAUUAGCAAACUUUUUCGGCCGUCCCCUCUUAGAUUGAGCCUGUUUCCCUCUCUUCUUCACACCAGCCUUCUUCAAUUUCACCACUACACGUUUUAUCCUUUCUGACCUACGCAAUGGCAUUUUGACCUCAGAGGUUUUCUUCUUAUUCUUCUUCUUCUUCUUUACUAACUUUUUUCCUCGAGGUUUUGCUUUCAAACUUUCUUUGUCCUUGCAUACUUGAGGUUUCGUGCUCGAAGUUUGUUUGUCCGUGCAUACUAGAGGUUUUGCCUUCAGACUUUGUUUGUCCUUGCAUUUAGAGCAGGUGUAAGUUGUACAUGUAGCACCUCUAGGUACUUUGAAAUGUUUUCUGUGGAAAAACCCUGUCCAGUGUAAAGAAGUUUAGCUGAGAUACCACCAACGCCAAAAGAUGAAUUUUGAGUAGCACAUCAACAAUUUAUUUCACAUAUUUGUGUGUAUGUUGGAAAAAAAACUCAAAAAAAAUGGAUAACAAUAUAGUGUUCAAAGCAAGAAUGACAGGCUGAAAUAUAAUUUAUGAGUCGGGAAAAGAAGUUGUAGACAUAUUACCACAAAAUUAUGUAGCUAGUUCUACAACAAAAUUUUGUAGCUACUUCUACACAAGGGCAUUGAAAUGUAUACCAUAUCACUGGAAUAAACACGAGAUACUACGACAUUACCCUCUUCAAUUCUCCAGAACCAUGCCGACAAGAAAAUGAUCAAUAUAAUCAAAAAAAAAAAUGAAAUGGCUGAUUCUAUAAUAUGAUUGGAGCCUGAAUAUAAAGAUGUUGCAUCACUGUCGGCACAGCUAUAAUGCCUAGCCUUUUCUUCUCAAGUAGAGGAGCUGUUCUUGAGGUAAAGCCAACAAAACUUUAAGUUGAAAGUAGAAAAGCAACCUAAUUCCUGGUUAUGUGACUUAGUUUGCAUAGGUAACAAAGUCCCUUUAUAUCUGAUGCGGGUUACAGUUUCUGGGCAAAAUAUAGUAAGAUACUGCUUAGUAUGCACAUUAAAUAGUUUUUGGCAUCGAUGCAUUAUAUCACACCACACAGAACAUUAUACAAUCUGCAAGAGCUACCAAAUAUGUACAAAUUCCUUUUAAAUUUGAAGUGAUCAAAGCAAGGUUACUAAUCAGUCUAAUUACAGAUAAAUUUAUCUACAAGCAUGCCCAUAAAGUAUCAUAGUCCUGUUACAGGCAUUAUUCUGCCUUUCCAACAGCAAAAUCAUCAUAAACAAUGAAUACUAAAAAACAUUUGAGCAUUUGAGCAGCAGUGCAGCACGUAUCAAAAGAAAUUCAAUCAGAUCUGCAAGUACAAAAAGUGUCGAAUAUAAUGUUCAUGACAAAAGAUAAAUAACAAGCUACCAACUGAAACGGACAAAACUAGCUUAAGCACACUUAUAUCAUCAUCAUCAGCAUAGAUGAAAAUGUUUCAUAUGAAUCCAAUAACAUCAUCAGCAGAUAAAUAGUAAAUAAUCCAAACAUCUUAACACUCAAUGCUGUGGCAGGCUACAACAACAUACAUAACAAACAAAAAAACCAGGCAAUAGAUACGAAAUGUUUCAUACACGCUGUCCUUUAUGCUUGAAAGAAAACAGGUUAAAAAAGAAAUGUCUGAAGUGCAUACCGUUACAAUAUUGGCAAUUCACAGCUUCACUGUAUGAAGAAGAGGAAGCAUAAGUUAGAAACCGGUCUGAAUAAAGUUGGAAGCACAGACAACCGUCGCAGCUAAAAAAGGAUAAACAAGACUUUACAUGCAAAAGAACUUCUAUCUUUGAAAAUGAUUGAUUUUAUAAACACUUAUACAUAUGGAGAGAAUACUUAAAAUGCAAACUUUAUAUACAUGACAUUUUUGUGUAAGCAUGUAAACUUAUACCACUAGGUUAUUGACACAAGCAAGAGAAAAAACAAAAGAAAGCUGAAAAAGUUCAAUGGUACAUAUAAAGCAUGCAUAAUACUUUGGGUAUCCAAUUCUUUAACGGAGAAAUGUUUUCUAAAUGAAAAUUGAAUCUUGAUUAAACAAGAACUAGUCUGACUAGGUUGAUUCCCUCAGUUCUUCCAAUAGUAAUACUAGCCAGUGGAGUGCAUCAAUUGGCUGGUCUUCAGGCUAAUCAUACAUACUAAUCAGCUGAUAUUUAAGAGCUUAAUCAGUCCAAUCUGUUCUUAUAUUGGAGCAGUAUUUGAGUUGGAAUCUUCAGAAAAAGGUAGUUGGCUGGGGAAAAAAGAAAUAGAAGAUAUGGCAGGGGGGAACGUUCUUAAUCAAAAGAUCAACUUGAAUCUUGUUGAGGGGCAUACAGAACAGCGUUCAAGUGCAGAAAGCAGAGUGAUGCAUGACCGGUUUUUAAGAGAAACAAAACACUUUCAGUUUACAGCCCACUCCUCCCCUUAUUUGUCUUCUCUUUUCAUAAUUUCUCGCUUCUUCUUUGAUCCAUCACUGUCCCCAAUCUUCUCCAAACUUAAGGGCAACAGAUGUGCUGUUUUCUACCCUAAACAAUAUCAGUAAAAAAUUAGCCUUAUUUAAAGUUAAUCAAAUGUGACUACUGCAUCAGAAAGAUUGUGUAACAGUUGCAUCCCUUUCUGUAACUUGGAAGUUUGAAAAUACAUGUUUCGUGAUGGAACACAAAAAAGUUUUUAGAUUGACGAAUUCCUGGGCUCCUGCACUGGAAACUAAUGAGCACAGACAUAUAUAGAUAAUUAAGGGCCAUAAAUUUCUAAUCAGGUGAGUAGGCCUGCAUGUGCGGGGAAUGGGGCGCAUGGGAAAAAUUAAAAGGAGUGCAGAUUAUAAAUACAUGGGGAUAAAUUAUGGAAAUGGUAAUCAGAUUAUAAAUACCUGCGGAUAAAUUACAGAAAUGAUAAAAUUUCCAUACCUGACAAGUACUUUUUCAUUACAGUGGCCACAAAUUUCGCCCGCCAACUGUUGUGCUUUCAAAAAAAGAAGUGAAAAUCCUUCCGAUCUUUUAGUCUUCCUUGAGAUGCAAUCACUUGCCCUGUCGGCAAGAUUGGCAGUCUUCUUUAAUUUGCAAUCACUUGCCCUAUCAGAAGGAUGGUCAGAAUCUUUCUUUUUCUGUACGCGAGCUAAUCUCUUUUCUUCAAAUGCUUUUAAGAGAUCCAAGGGAACAUGACAUUCACUCAACCAAUACUUUUUCCUGUCACUGGAAGGCUCUUGAAGUAUCACGCCAUAUCUGGCAACAAUAGGAGGGAUAUUAUCCCUCUUUCCAAAAUCAAGUAGAUACUUUACAUUUGUUCCCUCGAUGGAUUUUCUUCGUAUAAUGACUUUCUUAAAAAGCUUUGUUAAUUUCUUUGAAUCCUUAGACGCAGGAGGAAAAGGUUGAGUACUGGAAAUUGCAGUCCAUUUAAUGUGCGAAUCGAAUUCUUUAAUCUGGAAAAUGAAUGAAACACAGUAAGAGCGAUUUAUAGUUAGUUGUAGAUGACGGAUUAGGGAGUUAGUUGUAUUACCUGGAAUAAAAGCUGAGCCACACUUUUUGACAUUUCAACAGCAGCACGCCAGGCAAUGCAUUUGCUUCUCCUGGCAAUAUCUGAACCAUCAGGGUACAAGAUGCUUGGAAUUUUUUUAAAACCCGCUGCAAAAAUUUUAGAACCAAAAAGAUAUAUAAAAAUGUACUUAAUUCUGUCAUAACAAAAUCGUUGAAAUGAUAAUACUUACCUUGCCUGCCACUCUUGGAGGCCAAUGAUCGAGGCAACCUCUUCCAUUGAUACACCUGACGGGAUAGUUUGCCGCCCCUCCACCAAUUGACAUGAGAUGUAGAAUCAUCAGAGAUAUUAUUACGAUCACUAGUAGGAUUAGAUUUCCUCCCCUGCUUUUUACUGCUUCCAUUAUUCGAAGAUUCAUGUGAAUCAGUCAAAGAAUAAGAUGCUGAACCAAUUGUAUUACUAAAAUCCACAGGUUUAAGCCAUUCUGCUGAGAGUGCAAUGCGCCGCAAACUUGAUUCUAACUGCAGAAUAAGGGAGGAUAAGCUAUUGCAGGUAACUAGAUGAUGAAGAAGACCGAGCAAUAUGAGAAAGAUCUUGAUAGAAAUCAAACCAGGGAAUAGUUUCGCGUGGCAUGGGGUUUGUCACUGCUGUUACAGCAUGUAAUGUGGUAAAGACCUACUACAGUUGCCUGAUAUUUAAGUUUUUUGGUGAAAACCUAUAAUAAUUGCUCAUAAUUGUUCUGCAUAAUUAUUGCUUACUAUUCCAGAUUUAGGAACAAGCAUAAUUAAGGAUUAUUUAGAAUUGCUCAAACAAGGGUUACAAAUUGGGGAAAUCAGAAUUUCCACAAUUAACCAGCAAAUUCCAUAAUUCAAAUGCAUCAUAAGCAUAGAAAUCUUAGAUAGGAAUAACAGACUCUAUCUAUAGGAUAAUGUCAGCAUGAAACCAUGCUGAUGCCAUGUUGGCACUUUAGGUGCCAAAGAGCAAAGGUGGCACAGCAUUCAAGGAUAAAACAUUAGCAGUAAUCACUUACAGUAAGAAGCAGGUUCUUUAGCGAUGUGACAUCAGAUGCCUUCAGAACUGCCUCACGCCAAACAUUACUAAAAUGUGGGUUCUGCCAGGGGCCUGACAAUAAACUACGCAAACGAUCUUCAAUUGAUAAAAUAUAAUGCGCAGUAGAAGCAAUAUGGUUUUUCUUGUCCUUUUUCAAAAAUUGUCCUUCGGAAGGUGGUCCAGAACUUUCAAGAAGGUUACCAUCUGUAUUUUUAAAUAAACAAUCAGCAUCACUGGAGGUUCUGCAGGAGUAGCACCAUCCACAUUUUUCUUUUUGUGCAUCGAAAGAUAGCUCCCGAUAUGGAUAGCAACAAAGCUUAAUGGACUUCUUAGGUAUUGCCUUCAGCUGUACUGACAUCACGUCCUCAACAGAUUUCUUUACUUCCUUAGUGUUGCACUCAGAUGAAAUAUGUGUCAACUCUUCAGCAACAGAAGAAGCUAUACGACCAAAACUGUAGUAAUUCACGUAACUACCAAGAUCAAAAUGGAGUUGAGAAGCCCCAUCUGUCCUUUGCUCAGUAAUCACAAAUGCACCAGCAUAUGAACCACUUUGUCUCCCAUUCUCAACAGCUGCGUCAGCAGGUGUUAAUAUAAUGACCUCUUUCCCAGUAAUAUCAGCAUCAUCUGAAGAAUUUACACCACUCUCAUGGGCCAGUCCAUUCAAAAUUUCAGAACUGACUAAUGUUGUCAUCCCUUCAGACUGAAGUGAAUCCGGAUGAUUUAAAAUGACCUCAUUCAACUUGCUUAAGUCAGAACCAUUAGUUAUAUUAGUGCCCAAAUUUUCAGCAGACGGAGAAUUAGACUCUGGAAUCUUUCCGACAUCCUUAUCACCAGAAAAAUCCUGCUUUAAAGGUAAGGAUAGAUUGUCGUUAUUAUGAAAAUCUGGCAUUCCAUGGAUGUUGUGAUUCUCAUUAUCAAAUUGACCAUAAUAACUAGAAGAUUCCACAGGAAUAUCCCACGAUGCACAUAUUGCAGUAGUGAUUGGUUCAUAUGAACAAUCAGAUGAUUUCAACACUCCCAUAACAGAAAGCAAAUCAUUGCUUUUAUAAUAAUGGCAUGAAGCUUCUGCAUUGCAUGAGUCAGACCUGCAGUUUUAUCAAACAACAAAUACUUUAUGAUAUUAGAUAGUUUUUUUUGGGGGAGUCAUGGGUGAAUAAAGAUCCUUAAACAAACCAGCAAAAAUCACUUGAAAGAUCAUAAAAACAGAAAAGGAAAUGAGCUGUCCUAUCGAUUAAAGAAAGUUCUAACUGCUGCCUUUCUGACCAAGUACUUCAGGUAGACACUUGCGAUAACAGAAAUAUACACAAAAUAAUAUGAAACCACUGCAUAAAACUAUAUUGAUCGAAAAUACCACAACCCCCAAACUUUAUCUUAAGGACCUACUUCAAUACAUGAGCAUCUUGUUCAGCAUAUUUCUUUUGUUUGCCAAGGGGCGUGGUAAUUGGCCCAAAAGAUACCUACAACUGCAUAUAUGAGUCUGGCUGGUAUACUAUCGGUAGCACGGAAGCCUCCGUGCUACCAAGUUGUUUUCGAUGAUACGGCUUCCAAAUCAACGAUCAGCUCUGUUAGACUUGAUCCACACUAUUGAACGUAUUUGAAAACUAAAUUUUAUAAUUUUUCGACAUCAUUUACCUAUUCAAACGAGUAGUAUAAAAAUGAACGGCUAAAAAUAAAAAUCUCAUAAAAAAUGAUGAUAAAAGACUUGAAUUUAAAAUCAAAGGUACUGAUCUUACUCUAAAUAGUAAAAAAAAAUUUCUAUAAAAAUUUCAUCAAAUUUGGAUUAUUUUACACCAUAAAAUUCACAAACACAUCACAUCGGCCAUUAAAAUUGUCAUUUUUUAGGCCUUUUGAUCACUAGCCAAAUAAUGUCGAAAAAUUGUGAAAUUUAGUUCCAAAUAUUUUCAAUAGUGUAGGUCAAGUCUAAUGAAGCUGAUCGUUGAUUUGAAAACCGCAUCAUCGAAAACAACUUAGUAGCACAGAGGCCUCCGUGCUACCGAUAGUAUACCAGCCUAGUUCUCUCUCUCUCUCUCUCUCUCUCUCUCUCUCUCUCUCUCUCUCUAUAUAUAUAUAUAUAUAUAUAUAUGUAUACAUAUAAAGCCUCCAAGUAGUUCUUCUCGGCAUAUGAUAAUCACCUGGUUGGUUGAAUGUAUAUCAGGAAAAGACAAUUAUGAGGACCUCACAAUGCAGAGAAAUCAAGCUUCUAAUUUGCAAUCACAUAAGUUAUCAUAGAAUAAUUUGUUCCGACAUCCAAACAGGCCCUAAAAGAUUCACAAACUAGAAAGGAAAAGCAGAAAAAAGCUGAAGAAAAACAUUAUGAAGAAAUAACUCGAAAGCUUUAUAAGAAUUAAUCCUGUGAAAUUUUAGCUUUCGCCAUAUAUCGCUCAUAAUACAUAAUCUAACCGAUUCUCAACAAUAAUACAAGGGUGAGUUACGUUGUAAUUGUAGUUCAUUUCAUUUGUAAGAUAAGAUCCAAAUCCUUGCAAGUAUUUCCAAAAGACAUUACAUGAAAAGUCCAACAGCAGCAUAAUUGCUCUGUUAUCUUGUCCUCGGAGAAAAAGAUAUUUUCUCUUCCAAACUUUCAAUUAUGGUAACUAAUAGUUUCUACCAUAACUCCACUGAAAAAUCUGUGGCACCAACAUUCUCUUCUAUAUUUGAAAAUUCCAACAGUAUAAUCAUUACUCUGUUAAUCUUGUCCUUCAGAAAAUAAAAUUUUCUCUUCCAAGCUUCUAACUAGGGAAAUUAUUAGUCACUACAUCCAUUCCUUUGCUGAUAAUCUAAAGCACACUGACACUCUUUCUUACAAUCAAGAAACAAUGAUGAGCAUAUAUAUUGACAGAUCCCAAAUGCAAUUUGACUAGAAGAAAAGAGCAGCUAUAUAUCAUUCGAGAAGGAUAACAAGUCUGGGAUUCAUAGCACUGCAUCAUCUACGACCACUGCCGACCAAAACAGCAUUCUCUACAAAGAACAUCUAAACAUUUUCCAUGAACAGAUAAAAAAUUAAUCGUUCAUGGUGAACAUAUGAACUUCCCCGCUCUUUCUCAAUCACAAAACAUCACCAACUGACAGCAAGAUUCUAUUUUCCCUUGGAAAUGUAUUAGCAAUUAUAGAAAACUAGACUAGACUAAAUUAAUAAGGAGCAAAAAUAAAAAAGUUCAAAUGUAAAAACAAUAAAAAAGCUCAACAAAACAUUUGCAUUAAUGUUAGUCGUUAGAACAAUUUAAAUACACCAUCCACUCUAAAACAUUUUGUUCUUUGAAAUGUUAAUUUUUGAUGCAGCAUCUGAUCACCUAAUCAUCUUAGUAAUAAUGAUAGUAAAUACUUGAAUUUUGCCAGCGACAAGUGUGGAAUGGUUAAACACAAGCUCGCCUGAUUUCUAUACAAAUCUUUACACAUGUGCACGACCACCUUGGCAGUCUGUCAGCCCAUUGCCAUGAAGGACAUUUAAUAGUCUAAAGAUGCAGACACAUGAAUGAAAACACAUUAGGAAUCAUGUGCUAAAUCUUUGCAAAUGUUUGAACCGGUUGCCUCUCCGACCAGGAAUCAAGUUAUGAACAUCAUAGGUGAGCAUGUGACAGGUAAUAAGAGGUGAAAAAGAAAAAUAUGAAGGCAGAGUAAGAAAAUAACAUGACAAUUGAAUCAGCCUUAUUGGAUUUAGUUCAACAGAUUGUCAUCUUUGAAUCUUGCUAAAAACAUCUGGAACUUUGUAAUCAUUGUCUAGGGACUUAACAGUCAGUGCAGCUAAAGGAUCAGGGAGUAACUUUACAAAGCCCAGCAUUGCCAAGUGAGGCCAUAUGACAUAAUAUGAUCAAGCACUCUUCUCUAAUAUUUCAAGUACUACAGAGAGUAGAGUAGCCUAGUCCAUAGGUGAAUGAUGAGAUAUAUUAUCGAGUCAACAUUUGAUCACCAGAUAUAAAAAUUAGGAUUAGCCAAUGCCCCUUGGACUUCCAUGUUAUUGCGAAUAGACUUCUAGGUAAGUAAUCAAAAUCAACCGUUGAAACUUCAUAAGUAGUCACCAGUGCAUUUGACCCUACGAUCCAAACAACUUUAGCUUCCUAUUAUGUGUCUAUCACUUAUCACUUGCCAAUUAAGGAGUCGACAUCAUAGUAGCAACAAGAUGAAUUAGGGCUUCAUCAGGCCACCAAUGGAAUGAAGGAUUCCAUAGCACUAUUUGCUUCAAUUCGUGGCUUUGAAGCAAUAUACAAUUUUAGUUUUUCUUCUCUUUCAGCAGAAAUAGGAGAUCAACCGCAAAUUUUAGUUGAACUUAAAGAGACAGGUGACACAUUAGUGAUAGGAAACUUUUAGGAGACUAAUAUUAGUUGGAUAGAACAGUUGAUUGCAUUGUUACAUGAAGCUAAGAGAGCAUGUUGCACAAUUCAAGUUUACACUUUUGUUAGUUAUAUAAUAACUGCAAAAGCAUGAAAGUUCAAGAGGUGUCAAUAAAUCUAUCCUUAAUCAAGAAACUACCAUACGAUCAGUAGUUACGAGACUCAGAAUUUCACAUACCAAUUUGGAAACUAAAAUUCAUUGAGAACCAUUAAUUAAGGAACUUAAGCUGAAAACUUGAUAUCAGUCUUCAUGUAUAAACAUAAUGAAGAACUUGUACAAACUACUAAGUGCAACUUAAGAAAGGCAUGUACUUUGGCAUAAUGUCUAGUAUCCCGAUGGGUCGAGCCCCCAGCAUCUUGGGUUAUAUUUUAGUAUGAGUUCUUGGUGAAGUUUAUACGGUGUAGGGGCCUAGAAGAAAGAUCAAUAUAUAUAUAUAUAUAUAUAUAUAUAUAUAUAUAUAUAUAAAGCUCCACAUACCCACUUACUAAAGGUUUUCUCUUUGCUAAUGCAUGCUCAUGUUAAGGGGUGACAAUGCUUGAAAAAGGUCUAAGAGAAUAGGUGAAAUAUAUUAUUGUACAUUUCUUGUUAUCACGAUUCAAUUUACUGUUUGGCACUGCUCAAUUGUAUUCCAAAAGAAUAUUGACUAAAACGAUCGACGCUACAUUUAUAAAAGAGUAUUUCCAAAGACUGAGAGUUAAUGACAAAAGAAAUAUUAUAUAAAAAUAGAAAGAGCAUAUUGUAGCAACUAAAAUAUGCAGAAUGACGUACACCAAAAGAUAGCCGCAGCUUCUAAAAUACAUACGUCCAUGUGGAUCUAUUCCCAAAACCUCUGCUCCUUGGCAAGCCUUCGACAAAUUAAUCAACCCAUCACUUCUUUCCAGCAAACAAUCAGGACAAUACCAGUCGCCUUCGGGCAAAAGAUCUUUAGCCACUCCAACGCAUUUAGAAUGAAAUGCAGCAGGACAACCAUCACAGCAUAGAAGAUUACCAUCCAUCCCACAAAGGCAACAUUCAUCGCUAUUCCCAUCAACAUCAUCUUCAUAUUUGUGAGCGAACGAACCCCCCAAAGUUUCCAUACCUGGCUUAGUCCUCCGUUUUGCGAUGGUCAUGUUUGUGUUGUACUCAGAUUGGCUCAUUCUUAAAUUCAGUUCUGAUCUAAUUUCUUCAACUUCAAUGACAUUAUCACAUAGACAACGGAGUAAAUCCAGUUUCACGUCAGCAGGCUGUUCAUAGUACUCCUUAUUCAAGAGCCUCAAAUGAGUAAGUUUGAUACCAGAUUUCAAACUUGAACCAAAAACUAGUAAGUACUCAGCAAGGUAAAGAGGCCAUGUUACUAAAUCUAAGAGCUCCCAAUUAAGGUUCCUACAAAGAAUAGAUGUAUAAAAAAGAAGGCAAUUAACAGAGUAAGAGAUAAAUUGCCUACUGAACAAGCAAAGUGAAUAACAGUAACAACGGAAGCACCUGAUGCAAUCAGUAGCUGACUGAGAUCCUUCUUCAGAAAGGAAUUCCAAAUGCCUCUUCAAUGCUUGCAAUAUGGAAAAAUGAAUAGAGUCGAUCAAUGAAUUCACAUGUUUGCAUCUCAAAGCCGCCACAAAUGCUUCCAACCCAAACGGGCUCAGAAACAGAGGCCUGCUAAAAGAUCUCAAACAAGUGUAAACAGAGAAAAGAUCGAGGACAGGAAGCCCUUCUAAAUCCAAAUCAUUCGAAGAAGAGGGCAGUUCUGGAUUGGCGAAAUCCUCACUAACACAUGCAUCAGCUUUAGCCUCUGAAAUUGUAUUAUCUUCAGCAGCCACCUGAAGCGUAACAGAAUUCUCAGUAGAUUGCAAAGAAGUAUUUGCUCUACGAGCACUCCUCCUCAGAGGUGUCACAGUAGAUAAAUCGACUUUCUUCGGACGCCCUCGUCUUCUCUUUCGACCUUGAUCACCCUCCUCUGUUCCACACAUAGCAUCAUCUCCCUGCUCUAUAGGAUUUUUCAGUGUCAUCUCCUCAAUUUGUGUGUCGGUAUAGGGUUCUCGAGAGCCAUUUUCCUUCAAAUCAACUGCGAAUCCUUCACUAGUACCAUUUUCCUCCAACCUCACCAUCUCCGGAGUUCCUCCAAAACCCUGAGAAGAAUCUUUCUCCAACAAAUCCCCAUACGAACACUUGCCAUUAGCUUCAGCUCCAUCUAUAGCACCCAAAAAACCACUAUGCCCCUCGAUCCCACCAGAAACCUUAGUGUUUUCCACCAAAUUCCCACCUCCCUUUCUCAGUGGUGUCACCGUAGAAGAUUUGACUUUCCUGGGACGUCCCCGUCUUCUCUUUCGAACUUGCUCACCCUCCUCUGUUCCAUGUAUAUUAUCACCUCCCCGCUCUACUAGAUUUUUGGGGAUCAUCUCCUCAAUUUUGAUAUCCAUCAAGUGUUCAAAAAACCCACUUUCCUUCACAUUACCCACCAAUCCUACACCACUACCAACUUCCUCUGACCUCCCCAAUUCCGGAGUUCCUUUCAUCGCCUGAGAAGAACUUCUCUCCAAAAAAUCUCUAUUAGAACACUCAUCGCUAGCUUCAGUUCCAUGUAUAGCACCAAAAACUCCAUUUUGCCUUUCGAUCCCAUCAGAAACCCCAGUGCUUUCCACCAAAUCCCCAUCUCUCCUUCUCAAUGGUGUCCCGGAAGAAGAAGUGACUUUCCUGGGGCGUCCUCGUCUUCUCUUUGGAACUUGCUCACCCUCCUGUGUUCUACGUAUAGUAUCAUCUCCCUGCUUGAUCGGAUCUUUGGGUGCCGUCUCCUCAAUUUGGGUAUCUCUAAACCCUUCAGAAGAGCCAUUUCCCUUCACAUUAUCCACCGAUCCUUCACUACAACCAUUUCCCUCCAACCUCCCCAAUUCCCGAGUUCCUACCAAACCCUGAGAAGAACCUUUCUCUAACAAAUCUCCAUUGGAGCACUCACCACUAGCUUCAGCUCCUUCUAUAGCACCCAAAACAUCAUUUAGCCUCUCGAUCGCAUCAGAAACCCUAGUACUCUCCACCAAACCCCCACCUCCAUCCCCCAAAGCACUACCCUCCCCAAACCCCCCGUUCUCCACAGAAUCCGGCUCCGCCCGCCGCCGCUUCUUCGGCCUCCGCCCGUGAUCGUCCAUCCCCUCCGCUUCUACGUGGGGUAGCUCCCCCACCUCCCCCAACAUCGACGCGAUCUCACCAAAAUCGACCUCCUCGGUGUCCCCGUCCUCGUAGAGCACCUUGAAGAAUCUCGUGGACGCAUCAUACGACUCCACAACUCCCUCAUACGUCCCGAGCCCCGGGAACGUCUUCCUCACGACACUCCCGACCAGCUCCAUCACACCCGGGGAGCUAGGGCUCCCGAUCGAUCCCCAAAACCAAAUCGAAUCGAAGAACACGAAGAACACGAAGAAGAAGAGAUCGGAUUCGACCAACAACAAGAUGAGAUUGAGGCGAAAUUGGAGAAUGGCAAGAGAGAGGGGGGGGGGAGGGUUCUCCUUUCCCUUUCGAUCUCUCGCUCUUUAAUUUCGUCGAAGAGGAGAGGAACGAAGAACGGGGCUUCGUUUCCGAUGUCCCGCGGGAACACUCUAAAUGGUGGAAUAUGUGCAAGAUCCUUGCUGUAUUCCUAUUUUGCAAAUCCGUCCUUAAACUUUUAAUGUCCGUACAGGUCUAUUUGUCAAUAAGCCAAAUGAGUUUUUUUUUUUAAAAAAAAGUUAAUUUCACGUAACUCACAAAUAAAGUAGUUGUUUUGUAUUAUACUUGAUAUUAUAAUUAUUUUUUAUAGUUUAUACAUAUGUUUGUAAUAAAAUAUACUUGUAAAUGGUAAUUCAAAAAUAUGCCGUACUUUUUUUUUCUAGUGUAAGUGCAAGAUUACCUCAAUCUAAUAUGCUCUAAUGCAAGCGAAUAAGAAAUUACAGGCAACUAGUAAAAAAAAAUUAUAGAAUGAAUAAAAUCAUGUCUAAUUUUAAAAAAAGAACCCAAUGAUCUUUUUACAAUAAAGGGUGAAACUACACAAAUAUCUGGAAAGUUAAAAAAAAACUUAAGUGGAAUAUACAGACAUUAAGAUUAUCCAUACAAUUUACACUAUUAUAUAAAUUAACUACUAUUAAUAUAAUCCAAUCUAAUGGAUACUUAGGGAUGCAAACACGCCGGAUCAUAAGGCGGGAAGGUUCCUCCACCUCCCGCUCUAUUUCUUAUCGGAACGGGACAGAACAGAUUCGAUUAUUUUUUAUUUUAUUUUCGGCUUCUACUUAAUUACCGUUCCAUUCAGGGUGGAUCGGGACGGGAGCAAAUUUUUGACGGAUUAAAACGGAUUGAAGGAAGAAAAGAAUUUUCCGCCUCCCGCUCUAUUUACUUGGCUGAUUGGCGAAAAUUUGAGGUAGGUUAUAUAUUUCUAUAUUUUUUUAUCACUUCAUUCAGAGCAGAUCGGGGUGGGAGUUCUACCAACCUGGAUCCAUUUGCAUCGCUACGAAUGCGGUGUUAAAUGAGAUGGCAAAUCAUAAAUGAACGGUCCAGAUUCAACGAAGCGAGUGAGACUGGGGAUCUUACCGUUGGUUAGUUUCUUCUUCUUUUUUUAAGUUGUGUCGAGGGAGCACCUGAAGAUGAGGACAUGGGGAUUUGAGGGUGGGGUGUUAAAUAAAACUUUAAAAAAAAGUGAGUAGUGAAAAGUGUGGAUUUGUUUCACGUUUUAAGGGAUAAAAAAAAGGUAGUUGCUAAUUCUUGCUUUUAGCGCACUUGUAACGCGCAGUUACGACUCGUGAGUAGGUGGAUUCCCUACAGCAUGGGUUGUACUUGUAGUUGCUACUCACUUUGGGCCACGUGGCUUGCUGUCAUUGGUCGAGAAAUGUACAGAAAAAAAAAUCUACAGAGGAGCGAGUUCACUAGUCACGUGAGGUGACUACUAAAAUAUUCCCACUCAUCAAUAGAUAUAUUAAAACGUGAAUUCUCAAAGAAAUUACGUGCCGCGUACUUUGUUUCUUAUGAUCUGUUCACCUACCUCACCUCUUUUCCUUUCCAAAUCACUUUAAAUUUGUCAAGUGCUACGGUAUCAUGCAUAAUAUACACUCAUUAUAGGGUGUAUUAUAGUAUUAUUCUUCAAAAUAAUUAUUUUUAUAUGAAUUUUCUAAGCUUCUACUUGUAGUAAGAAUUUUGUGUUUGUGUUCACUUUCAGUGUUGAUGAAUUGCGAGAUCAACUUUGUACACAUAAAUUCUUACGUUACGUACGAAGAUUGUAGACAAAUUACGUUUUUAUAUAAAUAAGCCGCAGUGUUGUUUGGUAUAAUAUUAUUUAAACAGUAUUAUGGGAGAUACUUGAAUUUCUUAAAUAUUUAUCUCUUUUGGAUUAAAAAGGUAAAAGUUCGAAAUUAAUGUUUUUGCCUUUAGAAUUCAAACUCUCAUUUCAACUUUUUUAUUAUGGCGUGAUUCCCAAAAAAAAUUCGUUUAUCUACUGCAGUAUAAAUGCCUACUAUUUAUUAUGAAAUAUCCGAUCGUUCGUAGCACAAGUAGCUAUUGACUUGAUGAUUAGUAUUCGAGAUUAUAAGUUCGAAACUUAGUUAGUUCAUAUUUCUAACUAAAUUUAUUUAUAGAAAAAAUAAGUUAAGUGGAUACUAUGCUACCAUUCUCGUUUAAAAAAACAAAAAAAUCGAUAGUAGAAUUUCGGCCAAAUAAGCUAAUAGAAUAGAAUUAUAUCAUUGUGAGAUUUUUUUUUUUUGAGAGAGAGAUAUAGAUAGUAUGACACACUUUUCGUUUAUUUUAUUUAUAAAUAAAUUUAGCUGGAAAUGUGAAUCAACCGAGAUUGUAAUGAACUCGAUUGAGAGUUGGUCAAAGUGAGGAGAACUCAAGUUAGAAUUUUCUUUCAUAAGAAACGAAUGGUUUCAGAUGUUCUCAUUAGCCGGUAGACUCAGAUUUCUUAGGCGAUUUUAAAAAUAUUUUGGAGGGAAUUGCAAUUUGGAGGAACCCUUUCAUACUCACUUGUAGGCGUGGCGUAACCGUUAUUAUAAGGAAAAACUUCAAAUACCAUCCUGUGGUUUUGCAGUUUCUUAUUUUUGUACCAUGUGGUUUAAAGUAUAUCAAUUUAGUAUUCUAUGAUUUUAUUUAUUUUCUUUUUAUUAUCCUUUUUAUUAUUAUUUUUUUUUAAAUCAGUGACAAAGUUAAAACUAAAAGGUACUAACGUGAAUAUUCGAUAAACCUAGGUGGGGUAUCUGAAAUUUCUUGCAUAUAAUUUAACGAGAUGUUAACAAAUAAGCUGACGAAAAAAGACAAAUAAAACUACAGGGGACUAAAUUAAUACGCUUUAAACCACAGAAUAUUAAAGUGAGAAAAUACAAAACAACAAGGCUGAUAUUUGAAGUUUGCCCUUAUUCUAAUAAUUAUUUGUAGCCAAUAUAUGUUGUAAUGGUCCCUAGAGCAAGUCGCAAAAGGCUUGGUGGUUGGUAUCCGAGACCCAAGUUCGAAUCCUAGUUGAUUUACAUUUUUUGCUAAGUUUAUUUCUAAAUUUUUGCUAAGUUUAUUUCUAAAUGAAAUAAACGAAGCGGGUAGUGUACUACCUAUCUCUCAAACAAAAAAAAGUAUAAGAUCGAAAAAAAAAAGUCUAAUUGCUCAAACCUAGAUAUAUAUAUAUAUAUAUAUAGAGAGAGAGAGAGAGAGAGAGAGAGAGAGUAAGGCUACUAUACUAUUAUGAGUAUUGGGCCUUUCGUACACAUAAGUUAUUUUCGAUGAUGGAGCUUCCGAAUCGACGAUCCACUCCGUUAAAUAUGAUCUAGAGUAUUUGAAACUUCUAGAAAAUAAAUUUCGUAAUUUUUCGAAAUCAUAAUAAAGUCCAUCAAGUGGGCAUAAAAUGAACAGUCAAAAUCGAACGAUGUCUUAAAAAUGGAUGAUCAGAUCCUUCAAUUUAAAAUCAGAGUUAUUGAUCUUUAUCUAGGUAGUGAAUAGAAUUUUCUAUCAAAAAUUCAACCUAUUCGGAUUCUUUUGCACCAUUAAACUAGCAAGUAUUCCAUACCGGCCGUUAAAAAUUGUUAAUUUUGUAACCUUUUGAUCGUAAGUUAAAUGAUGUCGAAAAAUUAUGAAAUUUGAUUUCUAGAUGUUUCAAAUGCUCUAGAUAACGUUUAACGGUGUGGAUCGUCGAACCGGAAGUUCUAUCAUCGAAAACAACUUAUGAGUACAAGGACGAUCGUACUCAUAAUAGUAUAGUAGCCGGACUCUAUAUAUAUAGAGAGAGAGAGCAGGGCUGCUGUACUCUCAGGAGCACGGAGGCAGAGCAGGGCUGCUGUGCUCUCAGGAGCACGGAGGCCCUGAGCCGUUUACGAUGAUGGAGUUUCUGAAUCGACGAUCGGUUUCGUUAAACUUGAUCUAGCGUAUUUGAAGUUUCUAGAAAAUAAUUUUUACAAUUUUUCGAUAUCAUUUACCUAACAAUCGAAAGGAUUCAAAAUCAAUAAUUUUUAACAGCUGAAAAUAAAAAUUCUAUAAAAAGUGAUGAUAUAGCAUUAAAAUUUUUGAUUAGAAAUAUUGAUUUUGUUAUAGAUAGUAUAAAAAAUUUUGUAUCAAAAUUUCAUCUUAUUUGAAUACUUCUACACCGUUAAACUUGAAAACGGCAGAUAUCAACCAUUAAAAAUUAUGGAUUUUGAAUCCUUUCGAUCACUAGGUAAAUGAUAUAAAAAAAUCGCAAAAAUUAUUUUUUAGAAACUUCAAAUACGCUAGAUCAAGUCUAACAGAGCAGAUCGUCGAUUCGAAAAUUCCAUCAUCGAAAACGGCUCAGGAGCACAGAGGUCUCCGUGCUCCGGAGAGCACAGCAGCCCUGCUAUAUAUAUAUAUAUAGUGAGGCUACUAUACUAUCGGAAGCACGGAGCCUUCCGUGCUUCCAGCUCGUUUUCGAUGUUGCGACUUUCGAAUCGUCGAUCGGCUCCGUUAAACUUGAUCUAGAGUAUUUGGAGUACCUAGAAAAUAAAUUUUAUUAUUUUUCGAUAUCAUUUGCCUAGUAAUCGAAUAGGCUCAAAAUCAAUAAAUUUCAAUGGCCGUAGUGAGCAAUUUGCAAGUUUAACGGUGUAGAAAUAUCCAAAUCACGUGAAAUUUUGAUAGAAAAUUCUUUAUAUUAUAUAAAACAAGAUAAAUAUCUUUGAUUUAAAAUUUUAAUGUCAUAUUAUUACAUUUUGUAAGAUAUAUAUAUAUAUAUAUCUUGUCACUCUCAUAUCAAAUUUGAUGGCAAGUGCCCGUUUCUAAAUUCUAAACAGGGUUUUGUAAGGAGAAAAGUUCGGUCUAAUUUGGCACAGCGGCUGUGGCCGUUGUGGCGUUGCAUGCCCAUGAUCUAAGCCCGAUCGUGAAAACAUCUUAAUGGUACCUCGACAAUAGUAAAUUCAAUACAGAGAAUAAUAUUUGAUUAUCAUUCUGUGAUUAAUAGAAAAUAGAACAUGAUUCCAACUGUAACUUAUUCCAUACAAAAAAUAUCCAUUUCUGAUCGAACUAAACUAAGUUCUUCCGAACUGAAAUUAAUUCAACCCUAUUCAGAUUCGAAUCCAAAGUGAGUUUUGGUUGGCCUUACUUUUGCUUCUAUUUUAUAUAUUUUUUUAAUUAUGUUUUUUAUUUAUUUGGGCCUUAUUAUCUAGGCUAUAGUAUGCUUGCAUUCCAACUUUUAAAUACGUCCCGCUUUCAAAGGCCGCCUGUCACUAUCAUGGUAGGCCCUUAUCCUAUUGUGGUGGUGACGAUUAACAUUUUGAAGCGCGGUGACAACUGAUAUUAUAACUAAUUAUUAGUUGGAAAUAUGAGAUAAGUUUUAAUUGAACUAUGGUUAUACAGUAGACAGAACGCAGUUCUUAACUAACAAUUGUUAUCGGUGGAGUGCAACUCCCUACAAAAUCGGGUAAGACUAGUAAGACGAGUUUCACAUUAUCAGAGACUUGUGAAUACUUAAUUCGGCUAUACUAUGUUCGACAAUUGUUAGGCUAAAAAAGAUAAGAGAGUUAAACGUGCUAGAGCUAAAGUUUGGAUGAAAGAUUUAAUGUAAGUUAGGCCUUAAUUGAUCCAAGUGGGUCAAUGGGCCUCUUUCCUUUUAUCUUUCUUGUCCAUGUGAAGUAAGUGGGCCUUGGCACUUGUACAUGUAAGUUAGGGAUGACAAUUUCUCCUGGAAGUAGAUUUUCAUGUGGAGACCUGCUUUAAUCUUUUGCCACUGGAAACACAACUCAAGAACAGGAUAGCUAUUCAAAACCCCACUGAAUCACCAUAUACAUAGCAAUCAUAUAUAUCUAAAAUAAUAUUUUAUUAACUAAGGUUGGUGAUUAAUCUAUCUGUCUAUUAGAGUAAGUUAUUUACAAAUAAUUUACGUAAUACAGUGACUUUUUACAUAUCUUAUCAUACUUUUUAUUCUAACAGAUCAUUCCCCGAAUAAUCCUUGAAAGUUCAUAGGAACACAUAUUGAACAAGAUGUUUAUAUAUUUUUCACCGUAGAUUUAUUAGACCGUAGACACAUACCCUAUGUAAAAUUCUAUUUGCUUAGCUCAGAAACUUGAUUUUGAAACCAUUUGAAUACUCUCGGGAGCUCUAGCCAAUAGAAACUAAACCGCCACACGGACAAAAAUUUUAUGGUCACCGUGCCGAAACAAUUUGUUUGGGCACGGUGCCCGGAUGGGCGCCGCGUGUGCAGCGGCGCCCAUCUGCACCCUCCCCUCCCCCUCUCUUUCUCUCUCUUCCUAAANCGCCGCUACACACGCGGCGCCCAUCCGGGCACUGUGCCCAAACAAAUUGUUUCAGCAUGGUGCCCAUAAAAUUUUUAUCCGCGCCACGCGGCGAUCCCUGUAACGUAACAAUCAAAUCCCCUCAAAUUGCGCGCACUCGAAAGCCACGUGGACACAAGGACCCUAAAUUACACAAGGGGGAAAGAUUCCUAGGGUUCACGAGAGAAUGUGUGGGAACACACAAGGACAAAAUGGAGGAGGAGAGGUUGCUAUCCUGUGUGGAGCCGCACCUACAUUGUAUUUGAGCUCUCAUGUGUUUGGUUCAACUGUAGUGGUCACGAGCCCGAAUUGAAUAAGGUCCAUAUUAGUCCCAGUAGAGAUCAUGUGAACCCACAUGCAAAGGAUACGCCAAACCAUAGAUGUGCUAAUGGGUUAGAUUUGGGUCAGGUUUGAGAUUCAAACCCCGACACUUAAGUUGUUUGUCUUAUUCUAAGCCCCAUUAUUUGGAGAAGUUAAUAUGGUAUCUUUUCAUAUAUACUUAUGGUACUGUUUAACAAGAAUGACCCUUUUUUAUUCAAUCAUGUCAUAAAAAAUGUGGUCUUAUUUGUGACUCACGUGGUGGACCAAUUCUAAGAUAAUAGUUUCAAAAUUAAGUAAUUUUUCGGAUGAAUGGAUUGAAUCAACUCGAGAAAAAGGUAUAUUCGAAUAUGAAUUUGAUAAACUGUCCAAUUCUUUUAUUAUUAUUAUUAUUAUUAUUAUUAGUUUGGUCAAAAAUCUGAUAAUUUGAGGUCGAAUUUGGAUAUGACAUUACAAGGUGAUAUUUUAUAGCAUGAGUGGAAAUUUUCAUGCUUUUGAUCUUUACCUGUAUACUUGUAGGCAUCACAUGUUAUACAUUGCACUCAGCAACAAUCUCAACUAUAAAUGUGAAGGACAUGGACUACGUGACAAAAUAAUUGAUUUUCUCAGUACUAGUAAUCACAUAUUACAAUGUCUUAUAUAUAUCAUGUUAUUAAUGAAGGUGGUACUUUCCCUAUAACUUACAUGACAGGUAUAAGAUUCCAACCAUAAUUUUUUUGUAAAAAAGGAUGCAUUUAACCUAACAAAUCAUCUAAUUAGUUUAGAACCAACAAGCAAAUUGGUACACCAAAGUGAAUCUGAUUUAUUUUGGAAUCACUUUUGGUACUUAAAGGUCUUAUUUAUCAAAUAUAUAUUCUUUUAAAUAAACAUAAUUAUAGGGAUUAAAAGCAAAAGCGAAAAUGAGAAAGUAGAAGCUAGACCAAAAGGCCUUCUCCCUAAAGUGUAAAACAAUACAACCCACAAAUGAAACCUUGCUUUUGCUCAAUUUGCAUUCAUGGCUACUACAAAACAAACUAAAGAAGCAGUGCACCAGACACUUCACAUGGAUUUGGAACGGCUUCUACUUCAAUAUCUGCAGCAACGUGCCAAUGCAACAAGGCGCGCCCAGAAAACUACCCAACAAAUGUUCCCAGAAGCCCAACUUCGCGACAAUGUAAGAAGCACUUGUCGUAUACUCUCUGUGGUGUGGUGUACAAGCGUUCUUGUGAGAGAAAGGAACCAAAGUGUGGAUGGGUUUAUCAGGUUAUAUAUAUGGGCAUGUGCGCGCCCAAAUUUACCCCAAAGCACCAAAAGUGCUUCUUCUUCUUCUUCUUCUUCUUCUUAGAGAGGAAAUUUUUAGAAGCAUAUAUGGCAAUGGAGAGUAAAGUGGGCUUUGUAGUUGCAUGCAUUGUUAUCGUGUUUAUGCUUUUGUCUCAAGAAGGCCAGGUCUCUCUCUCUCUCUCUCUCUCUUAUGUUUUUAAAUUUGGAGGCUCACUUAUCAUGUAAAAUGAGAACACAAAAACAUUUAUACGUGCUGCAUUUUACAUGACUGUGUUUUCGAUAGUUUUCUCUACUUCGAGAUUUUCAUAAUCAAUUUUUUUUUUUUUUUAAGAGAUAGAUAGUACGCUACCCGUUUCGGUUUAUUUUAUUUAGAAAUAAACUUAGCUAGAAAUGUGAAUCAACUAGGAUUCGAACUUGAGUCUCGGAUACCAACUACCAAGCUCUUUGCUACUUGCUCUAGGGACAGUCGGUUCCAUAAUCAAUAAUUAGAACGAGUUUUCGAAUAUGAAAAGAAAAUUAGCUUUAAAAGCUCUAGUUUAAAGACUUCUACUUUUCAGAUAGAAUAUUAAAUGAAAAGACAGGUACAUUUUAGGACAUUCUUUUACUGUAGGUAGUAACACUUACAAAAACCAGAUGGGAGCCAAAUCAGCUGUUUAUAAUUUAAUUUAUACAAAUUUUCGGCCAACAUAGGUCCCUAUACCUUACAAUAUUCAUUUAUAUUGGGAAAAGAAAAAAUAUUCAAAAAGAGGUUUAUUAUAUAUUUAUAUUUUCUUUAAUUUGAUAUACAGGGAAUGCUUAUUGCAAAGCACUGUCCAAGCCCAACUAGUCAACCACCAGCAAUAUCUCCAAGCCCAACUCCGCAGCCUAUCAAAUUCCCCAUGGUAAGACUCCACCAUUCCCGCCAAUACUGUCUGUCACGACAUCUCGGCACUGUCUGCUAGCAGAGUUGAUAAGAUAUAUAUAUAUUUUCUAAGGGCAAUUGCUUAUAUAUUUUUGAAAAGUUUUUGACUUUUUGAUUUACCCCUUUUAGAAGACUAAUAUUGAAAAUACUGUUCCAACCUAUUUCUAAUAUACCCCUAGAGUUAAAAUCUGUUAAUUAACUUAACUCUGUAAAAUUACUAUUUUACCCUUUCAAAUAUACCCUUCCACUAUCACUGACUUUCUUAUUUGCCUUUAAAGUCAGGAGCGCAGAAAGUAUUUUGACUUUUAGUCUUUUCCAAUAUACCGCUCUACCGUUACCAACAUUUUUUAUUUGCUCUUAGUUAAGGGCAAAAUUGAUAUUUUAUUUUUUUUAAACUACGGUAGAUGUUUAACUCACGUUUAACUCAAGUUAACUUAACAGGAGAUAACCGCGGAGGUAUUUUGUAAUAACGGUGAAACAUAUGAAGGAUAUUUUAGAAAGAAAAUAAAACAGGAAUAAAUCGGAUAUUUUCAAACGUAUGAGAAGUAUAUAGACAAUUAUUCUUAUUUUUUAUUACUAUAAAUUUUCAAAAUAUGCAAGUUAUUCCCUCGACUAUCUCUACAUUAUAGUCAAAGAAAUUAGAGAAAAAGGAAAGAACAUAUAUCUAACUAAACUCCUAACAUUGUUUGAUUGCAGUAUGGAGUCACCCCAGGAAGCCUCCACCCACAAGGUCACAUAUAUUACUCCUUACUUAAAACUUUCCCUUCUCCCUAUCUUUCUCAAAUUUCUCUAACAAUUGUAUCUCCUCUCGCCUCGCAGAGUGCCCCGACCGCUGCGCGGGCCGAUGCUCCGCGACGGCCUACAAGAAGCCCUGCAUGUUCUUCUGCCAAAAGUGCUGCGAGAAAUGCCUCUGCGUGCCGCCCGGCACGUACGGCAACAAGCAGUUCUGCCCUUGCUACAAUGACUGGAAGACCAAAAGAGGAGGGCCAAAGUGUCCUUAAAAAAGAUCUCUCUUUGCUUCCUGCACAGCAUAAUAAUAUGUUUCUUACUAUAAAUGCAGCUGCAGAGCCAACAUGUUGUUGUGAUUCUGAUUUCAAAUUUGGAUGCUGAGAUUACUGCUCUGUAUGAUAUUAGAUCAGAUAAGUAAGCGAAUCAUCAUGUUCUUUUGGAUAAAAAUGAAUGGUACCAAUGCGUGCCACUGCAUUUUAUUUAUGUCUUGGAAUAUUAAAAAGUCUGAAGUCCAAACACGAGACAUACUCUAAAAAUUUCUUAAAUUACACUAUAUACGACUAAUCAUAUCUUGGAGUUUCAUUGGAGAUAAGAACUUUAUUCUGUAGCUAUUGUGCAAUUGAACUUUAAAUUUUGUUGGCGUAUUUCAUUUGCAUUUGCUAACAAUGUGCUGAUGUGAUAAUUAGUUUAGCUGCUAUAUUAUCUAUAAAAAAAUGAUACCAUGAUAAAAUGACAAUAAUUCAGUCAAAGUCUGUUAAAGGUAGGAUUCAUUAAUAGUUGAUGAAAAGAUUUUAUCCAGUUUAUCAGAGAUUUCAUCAAAUAUUAACAAUUUUAAUUACAUGUUACGUAAUAAAAUUAUCACAAUUAGUAAAAUUGAGGGGUGUAUUUCAAAAUACCUAACAUUUGAGGGGUCUCCAUACAUUUCUACCUUUUCCUUUUCUUAAUUUUCCGAUAAAUUGGAAAAUAUUUUGAGUAAAAAGUAAACUUUUCGAAAAAAAAUUCGAAGCACAAGCGAGCGACGAAAAUGGCGGGCUAACCCCAAUCAAGACGCCUCUCUCGUCUCCUCUUCCUCCUCCGCUUCUUCAAAACCCUAGAAUCUCGAUCGUUCCCCCCUUCACCAAUCGAUCCCCUCCAAAACCCUAAUUCCCUCCCCCUCUAUCCCUUCCUCACCCCUCGGAUGGAUCCCAACCCCCCCGUACGCUGCGUCGACAACGAGGAGGUCGCGCUUUAUCUGCGGAGGAAGCGCCAGGAGAUGGCGGAGAAUCCCAAUGGCUUGUCGGAGAACCUCGACAUGACUCUCUCCACCGCAUAUCGCAACAUCUGCAGCGCCAAAACCCCAAUCAAAACCCUCAAGGACUUGUCGCAGAUCAAGUAACAUCCAAAAUCAACGCUUUAAUCUUUCUUUUUCUUGGCUAAAAAUAAAAAAAAACAACCCUAUGAUUUCACACUCUUUCUCGGCAUAUAAUGCGGUUUAUAUCUAAACAUCUAUUUAAGUUGGAGUCUACAUAACAGAUGUGAAACGAAAGAAAAGAUAUCCUUUUUCUACUAGAAUCAACUCAAUUUGUAGUUUAUUUGACAAUUUAUUCAGUUUAUGAGAGUCCUUUCCAUCAAGUAUAACUAAUAGAGUUGUUCAAAGCCCCAAUCAAGAACCUAAAAGACCUAUCAGAGAUCAAGUGCGGCAAAAUCUCUCUCUAUUAACCCAAUCUGAGUUCCUUUUCUUUUCUUUAAAAUUAACCCUUUGGAUGGUUAUUGGUUGAAUUUUAUAUUGUGAUAGGGGCGUUGGCAAAUGGAUCUUGAGGCUCAUGAAAGGGUUCUUCCCAGAGAUUAGCUCUGAUGUAUCUCCUUCUAAAGAACCGGUUCAGCAAAAGGGUAGUUCUUGUCUGUCUAGCUUAUUUAGUUAUUGGAUGAAUCCAGUCGAGAAAGUUGUUUUUUUUUUUUUUUUUUGAGAAAAUGAUAUGUUGAUUAGGAAAGAAGACGAAAGGACCGAAAGUACCAAAAGGACCAAAGCGUUAUCUACCACAAAAGAACUCAGUAGCGUAUGCGUUAUUGAUCACCCUUUACAGGUGUAAAUUGUGUCUCAUGCCCUUAAUUGCUGUCUGUUUAUUGCUUGAAACUAAGCUUUUAUUCUUUGUCUUAUUCCUUUUUUUUAAAUCGUUUUCCCUUUAGAGCAAUGGCAAAUGGGAGUGGUUUUAUGAAGAAGCAGGAGCUUAUUGAUGCUGCUGAAGCUAGUGGGCUUUCACGUACUUCAAUUGCGUGAGUGGUUCUUUUAGUUUUUACUAGUUUGACAUUGCAAAUUAUUAUAUGGUUUACUUAGUGUAUUUUUCUAUCUUUUCUUGUGGUCGACAGGCUAGAUAAGAGUAAAGGAAAACCCGGGCAAUUUGGGAGUUCACCGAGGGAUUGGUACACUGGAUGGAGCUGCAUGAAGACAUUAAUAUUGAAAGGAUUAGUAGUCAAAUCUAGCUGCCCAGCAAAGUAACAUAUCGUAUUCUUUCUUUUUUUUUUUGUAUUUCUCAUCCGCUUCUUACUACAUUUUGUUAAUUUCUUUAGAUAAGUGGUGAUGUGUAUAAAAUAAUGUGCACUAAUAACUCUGUGAGGUAUAGCUCUUCAGGGAGGCAUAUGCGAUCUUCCUUGGUUUUUCUAUUAAAUUUUACAUGAUCUUGUUAUAUUACAAUUCUCUGAAGAACUUGGAGAUACGUUGUAAUGGCUUUUUGCAAGAACUGAACAUAAUGUACUGAUGAAUCUUUCAUGCUGUUGCUCAUAGCCAGUAUAAUUGAUGAGACAAUAAUUUUGUUGCAUAAGGCUCCAAAAAUUGAUGUCACUAUGAAUUAAUGGAAGAGCACCCAAGAGAUUCUUGAAAAGGCUUCAUACAGAAUAUAAUUUUGUCAAUAUCUACUGUUUAAAACUUAUAAACUUGAUAAGUGCAUGUACAAGCUUCCCAUUGUUGCGCAUUAUUCUAUAGCUUGAUACAAGUGAGUCGAGUGUAGUGUUUAGAUGGCUAACUAUUAAAACAGUUUGGACACCAGCUCUUUAUGCCAUAUUAGUAGUUUUUAGUUUGAUUACUCUGGUAAUCCAUGGUUUUUUUUUCUAAAUCUUAUGCAAGUGUUUGGCAGUCCGAAAAUGCUAGGCAAUGUGAUCCCAUUAAUAUCCCCAUGUUGUUGGAUGGAUAGAAAAGAAGUAUUAAAAAAAUCAUUCUGAUCAAACUUGCUACUGCUAUAUUUAAAUAGCAAAUUCCCACAGUCAUCUCCUUUUUAGGCAUGAACUACUUGGCGACAAAGCUUAUGUUAAUGCCCUCAGUUAUUUUUUGAAUAAAACCAGAUAUUAAACUUUCUUUCUGAUCUCUUUUUUAUUUCAUUUGUAUUUCAUCUUUACUGCUUUAAUAUCAGUAGAGUACCUAUUAUUGUCUCUUGCUUCAUUGCCUUUCAAUUGUCUUACUUUUUUGUUUUGUUUGGGGCCUCAAUAACGUGUAAUACCUGAUUCUGAGUAGGUAUAUGCUAACCCAAGAAGGGCAAGACGCUGCACGUGAUUGCCUCUCAAGAUCUGGGUUAGGCGAUCCUUCUGGAAACUUGACUCUAGAUGGUGGAUCUGAUGAUUCUCUAGAAAGGCGAGGUUCUGCUAAUUCAGAACCUGUAUCUUGUGCUUCAGCUCAUCAUGAGAUGAUGUUGGGGUCGGUGGAUUUAAGCUAUCAAGUGAAGCUAAGUGACAUCACAAAUGUUGUUGCAGAGAGGGUAUCCUGAACAUUCCAUAUUCUCUCAUUAGAAGUCGAACUUGAAAUAUGAUUAUAUUGGAUCUUUGAUACUUUACUGAUAUCUUGAUCUUUGUUUCUAUAUACAUAUGCGUAUCUGUCUGUUUAUCUCCCUAAGUUCCCGCACCCUUUAUUUAUAUAUCUCUGUGUAAUAAUAUGAAGUUUUGACUGCUAAGUUGUGAGUAGAAUAGUCUCAAACUCAUUUUAAUUUUAAUUUUGCUUCCUUGUAACUGUGUCUAUAAAUCUCUAUAUCCCUACAUCCAUGGAUUUAGGAUUGAUCUUGCAAGAGUUUAGGUUUUUAACAGUUUGCAUGUUGGUAUUAUCAGCGCAUCAAAUGUUUCCAAAAUUAGGUUCUUCAUUACUGUUUCUACAGGUAUUUCCUGUAGGAAAUUUUGUAUAUUAGCUUUGGAAAUCUUGUAGAAGUUCAAAUUAGAGACUGUGGAGUGUGGAUUGGCGACCUCCCUAACUGUUGGUAUUUCAAAAAAGAUUCCUCUAAUUAGAUUUCCACAGUUUACAUGUUGUUUUAUUAGUCAAUAUAAGAUGUUGAAUGUUUCCGAAGGCUUAUAGCUGCAGCAGUUCUCACCACUUGUAUCUCUAUUUUGCAGAACCUUCAAAUUGGACAGGCUGGCCCAUCUUACUCUGACUCUGCAGAAUUCAGUGGAAAGAAUCGUUCUUCAUUGUUGAUUGCACGAUCCUCUGUAGAUAUUGGUAUGUAUUUCAUGCAAUAUGUUGUUCCCAAAGAAAUACAGAAAUACAAGUCGAUCUAAAGAUCUUAGGCCCUGACUGAGGUUCCCUUUGGCAGACGUGCUCUUUGAGUAGAGCUAAAGGGAAAGGCACGAAUAUUUUUGUCAUCAAAUUUUACCAGAAGAGCUUCCGCUUCAGUAGAAGCAGAGGCUUGAAAAUGGAACUACUGCUUCUGGGGUGUAGAAGCCCAUUCUUGCUAAGCUAAAAGCUCUAUACUUCUUGUUUGCCAAAUGCAUGGGUGUUGCUUUUUGUAACACAGAAGUUGUUCCAAAAGCUAGGCCUUGGCCAUAAGUUUGUGACGGGUCACUAUAUUUUUAGUUAAAAUUUGGCUGUUUAGGUUCAAGCAAGAGUUCUAAGUAUGAUCAUUUUGCUGUAGAUUGCUCAGUUCAGGUUUCUGCUGAUUCAGCUCGGUGCUCAUCUCAUCUGCGGGCUUGUAGUUCAUUUGUAUGUUUGCCUUUGUUGAGAUUUUGAUUUCUCUCUAAAUUAUGGACUAGAAUAUUGCAUACUUUGAUUUUAGAAAGCAUCAAAUAAUUGAGAAAAUUCUAAUUUGGAAUCAAACAUCUUUUGAAUAUACAGGGUUCUCCAGCAGACAGAACAUCUUGUAAGGACAUUACUGAUGGGGAUAUCAAUUUACUUGCUAUGCCUCCUUGUAGAGCUGGGGAGAAAUUUGAAAAAACCUAUGAUGUUAUUUUGAUAUUGGACGAUCGUGAAAACUUUGGGUCAGUAUAGCAAAUUGAAGAUGCUAGUAUAUCAUAGUGGAAGAACAUAUUGAUAUAUGCUCAUUCCCGUUUUUUCCAUUUCAUCAUGAAUUGGUGGAUAUGAGACCGCGAGUUCAGGCUUCUGCAUCAACUAUGAAAGGAGUUUUUCUUGUGAUGUACUUACAUGCAAGAAGUGUUUUUUUUAGAGAUUCUCGAUAGUGCUACAAGUUUGUUUUAAUUCCUAGAUAUCCGUUUAUCUAAUUCACUAUCAACGCUUUCAUUGUUGUGCCUGUUUGAAUGUCUAAUUAAUAGCAUGUAUGUCGUCUGGAAAAUCAUUUCUCCAAAAUAUUAUCAUCUUUAUGCACCAAUACUAUGCGUAUCCUUAUUUCUGCAAUGAAUUCUCAAAUGUAAGUAACUCAGCAUGCUCACUUUUUCCUUAUAUUUUCAGGUCUCGUUCAAGAAAAGUUGUAGAUAAUAUACGCUCCCAAUUUGGUAUUUUUGUAGAGGUUAGUAAUCUAUUUUAGAUUAAUGUAAGUGCUGUUUCUAAUACUUUUUUUUUGGCAAUUUGUUAUUGUUUUUGUCAUUAGGUUUUUUAACUUGGUACAUGCCUGGUGAGUGCUGAAUACAACUAAAAAGAGAAAUGAAGUACUACUAGUCUAGACACCAUUCACUUGAGUGCCUGGUUUUACCAGCUUUGCAGUUUAUGUUUGAAACACUGGGUGUAUAAGUUUUAUUAAUAUGUAUUCUCAUAUUAUAGUGCAUUUCCAACUGUUUUAUACUCUGUAUUGAGUGUUGUAUUACAUCACAAUGCGACAGGUUAGACGCUUGCCUGUUGGAGAUGGAAUUUGGAUUGUUCGACAUAGACAACUGAACAAGGAGUAUGUUCUUGACUUUAUUGUUGAAAGGAAAAAGGUUGAUGAUCUAUGCAGCUCGAUUAGGGAUAACCGAUAUAGAGAUCAGAAAUUGAGGUUACAGGUAUUGAUUCUUAGCAGUUGUUUCAAUAUCACAGUUUGUUUUCAGCUCCUGUUCAUAUUUGGAGGUUAAGGUUAUACUGUCAUCUAUAGUUAAACUUUUAUUUUCCUAUACACUUACUAUCAUUAGUUGCGUGGACGUUCAACUAGCUUUAGUGAUAAUAUAUGUGCUUCAAUUGUCUUUUACAUCUUUCUCCUUGUUCUGUCAAGCUUUGUGAGUUUAUGAUAUAAUUGCCAUUCUGUGUUCGUGUCUGCCUCGCUACUGUAAUUCUGUUAAAUGUUUACUCCGUAAUUUGCGUAGAGAUGUGGACUGAGCAAGCUGAUAUAUCUUGUUGAAGGUGACCCAAAUUCCCUGGAAGCUGCAGAAAGUAUUAAAACAGCGUAUGCACAUUUCACAGUUAUUUUUGUUGUCCGUUUUCAAAUUUUGAUCCUUUUGGAAGUCGUCUGUCCAUUAAAACAAUUAAAUUUUCCUUUUUUCUUUUUCAUGAAAUUGAUGUUUUGUUUGUAUUUCAAGACAACGUAAGAUUGAAAAUGUACUGUUUCUUAUUAAGAUUAUGCUUGUGUGUUCUCUCAGCUGCUUCACCACAGAGAUCUUAGAAGGAUUUGAUGUGCAGAGGACUAGUGGUUUUGCAGAUACUAUAAGGAAAUAUGGUUACCUUACGCAGUCAAUAACACAAUAUUACAGUACACACCUCUCUUAUGGGUCUCGAAGAUCAAGAGUUUGCCCCUCGUUUGAUGAGUUUGUUAAGAAGUGUCAUGAUCUUGAGAAGAUGACAGUUAGUGAUGUAUUUGCACUCCAACUCAUGCAGGUGACUCUCCCUACUAAACGAAGCAUUCUACCUAACACUCAGUCUACUCCGCCGACGAUCUUCUUUUGGGGAUUUGGCAAACACAUCCAUUUUUUUGCGAUUUUCCGAUACUGCUGCACUUUUUUGUUUUUCAAAUUUUGGACUGAAUUGCAUUCCUUCCGACCUCUCCUUGUGAUGAAAUUUGUUUGGAUAUUUCCAUCAGUGCAUCUUGUCCACUGAAAAGACAUCUCAUUCCAGAGUAGCAAAAAUUUAACCAGGGUUGCAAAAAUAAAAACUUUUGGAUUUAUUUGUAAAUACCCUUUUCUAUCUCUUACCCCACGACAAAAUUCUCUGAGUUCAUGUGACAAUAUAAAUGUUGGUUUCUGCAGGUCCCACAAGUUACAGAAGAGAUUGCACUUGCAGUUAUAGCCAUAUAUCCUACCCUUUUAUCACUUGCUCAGGCCUACUCCCAGUGUGUGAGUACUCUCUCUUUCACUAACUAUUCAAUGUCUUCCUAAACUAUGAACCUUUAGGUAGUGUUGGUUGGAGGAUUUUGCCGUAGGGAUAAGAUAAAUAUUUAUGAUGUGAACUCUAGUUUGAGCAGUUAUAUCCUAUUCUGUUUGCUCGAGAUGUUGAAGACUGCCUAGAAUAACUAGCUAUUUACCUUGCUAUCACGAUUCCACCCAAUCAUUUGGAAAUGUUGUACAUGGAAUAAUUCUUCUGCCAGAUUCUAGGUAGGAAUUCCGACUUGGGAAAAUUGCGGGAAUUCCAUUUCUGCGUAACUCUCAUUUUUAUCUUCCAACCAAACACUAGUUAAGAAGGCAUUUUUCAAUUGAUUGAAUUAGCAAUAAUUUCUCAUGCUUGCAUUAUUGAAGGAAGGAGAUGUUCGUGCCCAGGAGGAGAUGUUAAAGAACAAGAAUGCGAAAAUAAGUGGCGUUGCUAGUAGAAACAUUUUUAAGCUGGUAUGGGGAGCUUGAUAAUAUAUCCACUGUUUGAUGCGCGAAAGAUGUUUCAAUCUCCAGUAACAUUCAAAGUCAGCAGCUCGAUGACUUACAUAGUUAUUAGAAAGCUCUUCUUUUGCUAACUGAUACAGUUUAGGCUUUGUAUUACUGCAUGCCUUGCGCCGACGAAAGCAGAUUGAUUUUGGAUGGUUUAAUCAUCAAAAAAAAGAGGAAAAAGGAAGUGGCAAUGUGUAUCUUCUUUCCCUUUUCUCCCUUAAGAUCAUGGUGCUCCUCUUAAGUUAAUACUAUGUUUAUUGCUUCUCUUGUUGUAUUUGUACACUUGGACUAUCCACCCUGUUAAUGUUAAAUCCGAUGAGCUGCUGUUGUUACUAUUUUUAGCUUUGCUUUGGCAAAAUUUUUGUUGAUUAUUCAUUUUAACAAAUGUAAUUUUGUUUUUCCGAGCACAUUAUGAAAGAAAGCAUCUAUAAUAUAGUGAGAUACUUGAUAUAAAGCAGAGGUAACAUUUUUCACUUUCCAGCAUGAAGUGGAAUUAGUUUUCAAAUUUUAGUUUUUUUUUUUAGUAUUUUGAUUUAUAAAAUAUCAAGCGUACUGUUGUAGAUUUCGUAAAAAGAUGCUUGUCUCUGUAUGAUGCUCAUGAUGUAUACUUUUGAUUGAUUUAUUUACACAGUUUAAAUACUUAAAUAAAAAUAGUAAGUGUCUCUUCAAACAGGCCAAUUAAGCACGCACCACCUACCCAUCGGUACAAAACGUCGAACGUUGUUUUCCUGAAACUUUUGUUUUCUUUUUCUAAAAAAAUCUAAAUCCCUGAUGAGAAAACAAAAAAGACAAAAGGGGUGAAAACAAGUGAUCCACAGCUCCUUCCAACAGUCCAAACGAGAACAACAAACUUACUAAAAAAAAGAACAAAAAAAAAAAACUUCAAAUAUACUCAUAUGAUUUCGCAUUUUCUUACUUUAGUACCCUAUGAUUUAGAGUGUAUCAAAUUAGUAUUUUAUGAUUUUAUUUUAUUUUUUUCGUUAGCUCCUCUGUUAAUAUUUUGUUAAAUUAUAUACAGAAAAAUUUCAGAUACCCUACUUAGAUUUAUCGAAUAUUCACUUUAGUACUAUUUAGUUUUAACUUUGUCACUGAUUCGACGAAAGAAAAUUAGUGAAAUGGAUAAUAAAAAGAAAAAAAUAAAAUUUUAUGGUACUAAAUUGGUAUAUUUUAAACUACAGAAUAUUAAAUCAUUUCUCUUUUUUUUUUUCUUUUUAUUUUUUUAGAGAAAACUUUAAAUAUCACUUUUGUGGUUUCACACUUUCUCACUUUAAUAUCCUCCGCAUCUGUUCGCUCAACAACACUCGUGCGGUGUUCUAAACCCUAAACCUUCCCCAAUUUGGCGGGAAAUUUGCAAAAAAAAAAAAAAAAAAAAAAAAAAAAAAAAAAAACCCCAACAAAAAAAAAAAAAAAAAAAAAAAAAAAAAAAAAAAAACCCUCCCCCAAUCA
This 65414-nucleotide long non-coding RNA is filed under the name Ananas comosus (pineapple). Its description in RNAcentral is "long non-coding RNA (ACOM_LNC006595)". The record is from RNAcentral. Lineage: Eukaryota; Viridiplantae; Streptophyta; Magnoliopsida; Poales; Bromeliaceae.